AACGCAAGCCAAACACCCAAUUUGUUUAGGGUUUUGACUCAACAGCCUUUAAUUUCUAAGGCUAUUUCAUCACCAGUACACCAUUAAAAUUGGUGAGGGGUAUCGAAGCAGCCUUUAUUUCAUCAGAAUCAACACUCAAAGACCACUUUUACUUAUGGAUCCGCAUUUCUAACCCCAAUUUCGACGAAGAAGCCAAGGGAUCUCAUCGAUGCAUUUAGCAGAGGUAAAUUUCUCGUUUUUCUUUCUUUUCUUUUUUUAAAAAAAAAAACUAAAAACCAGACAUAUGCAAAAGAAGAAAAAAUAUAUUGAAGACGGAAGAGAAAAAUUUAAAAUCACCUUCUGAUUUUUUUUAUUCUUAGUAUUGGAUUUUCACAGUGUGCGUAAAAAAUUGUGGAUUACAUUUCUGGCUUUUAUAGCCAGAUUUUCAAAAUAAAUAAAAACUUAAAAAUCCUAUUUUCCUACUGUCGUUUGCUGUGAAAUCUGUUACUGGCUCCUUCUGGUGUAUUCUUUUGCAGGUACAGAGAAGAUGACCCGGGGAUCUCACGUGGGAAGGCGUUCCUCUGGUGCCCUUCCAGUGUAUUUCAAGAGAGUUCUUGACUGCUGGAUUUCUUUUUCUUUUUGGGAUCUUUUGGGUUUGGGCUAAAUUUAGGAUAUGGGUUUAUUAGAAUUGGGUUUUAGGUCAUGGGUUAUUUUGGUAAUUUAUGUAUUUUGAAAAUUGUAAAUGGACUUUUUUAGACUAUUUAGUCUUGGACUUUAUUUCUUUAUUUGGGUUUAUUUAUUUGCAAAUAAAUUAAAUGGGCCCGGACAAAAUUGGUUAACUACACUUAAGAUGCGAGUCACUUGAAGGCAACAUCUCUUUCUCCAGCUCUAUGAUACAUCCAUGCCUUAUUAGUUCACACUUUGACUGGCAGGAGAGAGAGCACGGGAGUUGUGAGCAUUACUAACGUGUAUUAUCUCUGGCGCAUAGAAACCGGCCACAUAUUCGACUUAGCUUAUUUUAUCGCUUUCGCCUUUUGCUACCAAACAGAUCACCAUAGGAAGGGUCCCAUCUAUCUAGGCCCUUAUGUAACUCAUCUCGCUCGACACUUUGGCCUUCUCAACACACCGGAGCAGUCUUCAACACUUACCCUCGUCGGCCAGAUGCCCCCUCAGGACAUCUCGAGCAUGAUCCAUAUAAGGAUGAUCGAGCUACGACGUAGAGUGGACCUUUUUCAGAACAGACUAUUUCAGUCUGAUGUCGAGCAGACCCAGAGGAUUUCACUGAUGAUGUUCCUCCCUAUCACGAGGAUCCACCUCAGUCACUAUAUUCGAGCCAUAGAUCAGUCCAUUCUGCUGCUAGCUCUCGAGGAGUGUCCUAUAAGCAAUUCAUGAGUUUCCGUCAGUACUGCUCUGAGCUGUUCGAUAGGCUUGAUGCGACUUCGCAGCAGAUCUGCCAGCAUUUACAUAUUACUCCUCCAGUGCCAACGAUGCACGCAUCUGACGAUGAGGACAAUUGAGUCUAUUUAUCUUUAUGUUUAUUUUUACUUUUUGUUUUUAUCUUUAUUUUUAUUUUUAUUUUUAUUUUGUUUUGUUUUUCUAUUUUAAACUUUCUUUUAAUUAUUACGGUUGUUUCUAAUCGAGUAACCCUCUUAAUCAUCUUCAGUAUUGUGUUUAUUUUCUUGUCAGUUGCUUAGAAUUUUGUACUCCCUCCACAUUUAUCUACAAUUCCGCUUUUCACUAUUCUGAGAAAUUUAUCCACCAUUCAGGGCAGUUUCGAUUAUCUCCCUUUCUUAUGAUAUUAUGUUUCUAUUAUGUUUAUAUAUUUUUGUACAUUGAGGACAAUAAACAUCUUAAGUGUGGGGAGGAUAUUUAUAUAAUCAUUUGAAAAUCCCUGAAAUAUGCCUUGUGCUUAAGUAAUUUCCUCAUAUUACUGUUAGAAUGAAUUUUUCUUCGAUUUAUGAUUCUUAUUGAUAUGUUUUAGAUUAAAUUCAUAGAUACUUGUGCAUUGAUGGUUUAAAAUUUAAGAUACUAGAGAAUCAAGCAUGACAAGUCUAUUUUUUAGAAUAAAAAAAAAUUAGGUUGUUUCCCUAAAUUGAAGUAUUACCUUGAAGUUUAAAAUUUGCAAGAUUAACAUCAAAAACCAUAAUUUUUGUGAGAUUUUGAGCCUUUAAAGCAUACAUUUUUUCGUGCUCACUUUAUUAUUGGUUACGAGUGUGUCAAUAUUGAAUUGUUAUUCUAGAACCUGCUUCGAUUAUACAUGUCGAGACCAUACCUUUGAUUUGAUAUACUGAGAUGAUAAAGGCACCAAGGUUUUAACCCACUUACCCCACAAAAAGCUUACCUUCACAAUUAACCCUUAGUGAACCCCUUUGAGCCUAACAAACUGUUUCUUAAUUUAUCCUUAAUAUUAACCCAUACAUCAUACUUUUUGAUUCAUUGAGAAUUUUUCCUAUUUUAUUGACUCCUUUUUUUUUAUCGAAAUUUGAUUUGGUUAAUUGCCUAACCAUGUUCUUUUAUUUCAGUUGUAUAAUUUUCUCUUAUUAUUCAUUCAUUCAUUCAAAAAAAAGGAAAAUAAAUAAAAUACAUAUAUGUUGAUUAUUAUUAGUUAUUUGUCUUGAGCUUAAGUAGUUAAUUUCAUAUUUUGAGAAGAAUCUCAUGUUUAUCUUUAAUAAAUUCGAUUGAUGUAAUUAUUUAGUGUUAGUUUAUUUUUCUAGUUAGGUAAUUUAUCAAUUUGAUCUCGAUUCUAACCUUCUUUUUUUACCGUUAUCCAAACCUUUAACCCAAGCCCCGUUACAACUCUUUAAAGACCUUUUAAUUUGUGUAUCAUCUCAUUUAUAGUGGGGGAGAUUUGAUUUUCAUGCAAGCCUAUGGUAAUAACUUUUCAUGUUUGACUCUUGAGUGCUUAACUUUUGAACCUUAAACACUUUGAGUGCUUUGAGUGAAUCUUUAGUGAGGAUGUCAAUCCUUUUCGAUUUUGGAUUAAAGGUAAUUAUUUAAAUAAGGGGAAAUACCUAUAUUUUCAUGCUUUAAAAAUGAUAGACUUGGAUUGCUUGUGCAUUUAGUGCUCUUUUAGUUGAAUUAUCAAGGUAUGAUUAUUUGUGAAAUUAUGAUAAAACAUUAUUGAUGAGAAUUAUGAAUUGAGAGAGUUUAAUUUUAAUUGUGAGUUGAGGAUUUUGCUUGAGGACAUAUGUGAUUUUCGAGUAUCCUUAAUGAUUCUGAAUGGUUCAAUGGGCAUAGUCAAGGCAAGAAUGAAAGGACAAACGAAACAAGUAAUAUAGGUACGUACAAAACUUAUGUGAGAAUCGAAUGAAAGUAGUGAGUUCAUAUUGUAUCAUGUAUAUGAAAUGAGAAAGAUUGUGUAUAAAUAUGUGUUAUGCCAAAAUGGAUUCAUUUAGCUAUACCGAAGUAUGAAUUGGAUGUUAAAUGAGGCAUGAGUUAUGUUGUUUUAUCUAUAUAUACAUAAGGUAUAUAACGUGCAAAAUACAGUUAGAUGAUGAUAUUAACACAAUUCACCUGGGCUAAAGAAAAUGUGAGGAAAUGUUGGUUUGAAUGAAGUUAUAUAGAUAGUUGAUUUUGUAUAUGUAAAUAUAAUCGAACUGAUAAGAAUGUUUUUUAUCCGUAUGAGCAUUGAAAUAAAUAAACUUGUGAAGCUUUGAUAAUUAUAUGAUUGGAAUUAUGGUAUAAAGAUGAAAUCAAAUGAAUUUAUAUUAUAGUAUAUGUAAAUGGAUUCAUGUUAUAAAGGUGAAAGUAUAUGUGGACAUUAUAAUUUAUGAAAAUGUUAAAUUUAUGAAAAUGUUUAAUAUAUGUUUAUUCAAUAAGUUGAGUUUAAUACUUUACGAACUUACUAAGAUUUAUAGCUUACUUUGUGUUAUUUUUCUAUGUUUUAUAGUGAUUUGAACAUUCGCUAGGGUUGGAAGCCGGUGGAGAUCGCAUCACACUAUUCGAUUUUGAUUUCGGUAUUUAUACAAUUAUAACUUGGUUAUAUGGCAUUUAUAGGCUAGUAAGUUCAUGAUAUGUUUUGGGAUAUGAUAUAGCCAUGAGAUUUGGCUAGCUUUUGAUGUAAAUUAUUUUUGUGUAUUUGACCAUUUAAGUUGGCUUGAAUUAUGUGUUUGAUAAGUGAUAUAUGUGCUUUAUAAGAUACCUUGCGAUUUGGCAUGUUUGCCUUGGUUGUUGAUAUGGCUAAAUGGUUGUUCAUUUGGUUAGUUAUUAAUUGAUAUAUCAAGGCUUGAAGAAUGGUAUAUUUUGAUAUGAUGAAUUGAUUUGUUUGAGAAGCAUGAUUUAGUUGAUGGAAAGGUUAUAGAAUGCAUUUAGAAGUUAUGUGAGUUUGAUGACUGCGACAUAUUAUUUUGGUAUGUAAUUGAUCAUGGAAUUGAGUAGUAGAGAGAAUGGCUACAUGGCAUAAUAUAUGUGUUGAAAUGGCAUGAAAUGUCUUGUUGUAGGAAGGCAUGAGGAGGGUGAAAAAUGUGGCUUAAACCAAGCCUAUUUUCAUUCCACACAGCUGAGCACACGAGCAUAUGGAUUGACCAUGUAUGACACAUGGCCUUGGUACACGACCGUGUGUCCCUUUAGGUGCCCUUUCGAAUUAAGUCAGUAUACCCUACAGGUUUGACACGGCCUAGACACACGGGCGUGCCUACUGGCCGUGUGUGGUACACAAACUAGCACAUGGGCAUGUGUUGAUCGUGUGACCCAAGUCAAUAACCCCUUUAGAUUUCACACGGCCUGGCACACAGGCAUGUCAUUGGCCAUGUGGUGCAAGUCAGUAUGUAUGCCCUGUUUUCACACAGCUUGUGACACAGACGUGUCUGGUGGCUAUGCGAGGCACACGGCCUAUUCACACGGGCGUGUGACCACUGAUUUCAUGAAAAAUUUUAUAAGUUCCCAAAGUUUUUGUAUGUUAUCGGUUUAGUCUCGAACCACCUUUAAAGCAUAUUUAGGGCCUCAUAGGCUCUCUUAAGGGGCAAUGUCAUUGUGUUAGUGUGAUAUUUAUAUGAAAUUGAAUCAUGUAUGAAAAAUGUAUAUUAUAUAUUGUGAUUUGAUCAGUAAUGCCUCAUAAUCCUAUUCAGGCAUCGGAUACGGGUUAGGGGUGUUAAGACCCUAUAGGACACUUACUGUAAUAGAUGAUUAUGUACACCAAAUUAUAAGUCUGGAAGAUUAGUAGUCGAAGUAAACAAUUUUCUCUAUAUGCUUCUUUUAUUUUUUUCUUGUUCUUCUCUCGUUUCUCUUCAUCUUCUUUCUCCCACAACAGAAUAAUGGCUACAAAUCAGGAGCCACAACAACUGUUGCUGAACAACCCCAAGCCACUCGCAUCCCUGACAAACCAAGCACUCAAGCACCAUGGAAGGUGAUGACACUGGUAAUCAGUGAACAGAUUAGUACUAGGAGAUUAGCACUAAACUUGAUUUGCCCAUUUAAGAGGGAAAGGCGAGUUUGAAGAUUUCAGUUUAAGAAUCCACAUGGAGAAGAGGAAGAAGUGCAAAGGUGCGUAGCGGCUGACUGGAGCUCAUUUCGAGCCUGCUUACGUACUUUCACGGGAUCAAGUCAUCCGUAGUUCGAAGAUUUGACUCCGUCCAGGAUCAAUGAAUAUAAAAUAAAAAUACCCUUUGUAAUGACCCGAAUUUUAUCGUUACCGAAAAAUUGUAUUUUCGGGUCUCCGUUUCUGAAAAAUGGAUUCGUAAAUAUUUAUUAAAAAUAUUUAUGAAGUAAAAUGAGUGGUUAAUUAGAGUUUAAUUAAGUGAAUUUAAUUUAAUUAAGAGUAAUUAAGUAAAAGGACCAAAUUGAAUAAAGUGUGAAAGUUAAAUUAUAGAUUAAAAGAAAAUAAAAAGGACUAAAAGGGCAAUUAUACAAAAAGUAUAAAUUGAGGCGGUUUAUCGUGAAGAAAAUCUAAGAUUUUUUUAUGUUUAGUAUAUUAUUAUAUUAUUAUAUUAUAUUAUAUUAUAUAUAUAAACUAAAGAAGCAAAUGAAAGGAAAUAGAAACAGAAUGAAACGAAACAGAGAGCAGGGGAGAAAAAGAAAGAAAGAAUGGGAGAAAAGGGAAAAUUGAAGGUUUGAAACUUUAAGCUUUAAUAGGUAAGUCAAUCAAGCCCUUUUUACUUAAUUUUGAUGUUUUAGAAGUUUUAGAACAAAGUUUUGAUGAAAUUAAGUUAAUAUUUUGAUAGUUAUUAGAUUUCUAGAUAUUGUCCAUGUUAAAUAAAAUGAUGAAUUAAGGGCUAAAUUGAUAGAAAUUCAAGUUAAAAAUGAUACAAGGAUUGAAUUGUAAAGUGAUUCAUAAGUUUUAUGCUUUAAGGACUAAAUUGAAAGAAUAUCGAAAUUAUGGUUUUAUGAUGAAAAAUAGAUAAUUAUGUCUAAGUUUGGUUAAAAAUUGAGUAUAAAUAAAGUAUGAAUUAAGAUAGAAAAGUAAGUGAAUUUAGUUAGAAUUAAAUUGAAAUUAAAGUAAAUCAACAUUUUGUACUAAGACUAUUUUGGACAGCAGCAGUAGUCUAAGUUUGAAAAAUCACCAAAAAUUGUAGAAAUUGAAUUAGAGGAUGAAUAAAAUAUGGAAUUAAAUAUUAUUGAGUCUAGUUUCUUAUAGAAGAAACGAUAUAAGCAAUUGAAUUGUAAAUUAUGAGAUAUAAUGAAUUUUGUGAGACAAGGUUAGAAUGAAUUCGGGUUCCCCUGUUCUGACUUUGGAAAAUCACCAAAAAUUGAAUAAAAAUAAUUAGAGGCUUAAAGCUAUAUGUUUAGAAUCCCUAAUGAGUCUAUUUUCAGGAGAAAUCAACGGGAAUGCUAUCCGAGUUCUGUACUGUGAGAUAAUUAAUUUUUAGUGAAGAAGGGGUGAAUUUAAAGAAUAAACUGUACUUAAUGGCUAAACCAAAAAUUCUGAAAAUUUUAUUGUAAGAAGAUUUGUGAGUCUAGUUUCAGGAAAAAUUAGCGGAUCUUAAUUUAGAAUUCUGUAACUCAAGAUAUGAAUUAGUAAUGUAUUAAUGAUUAUGAAUUGUAUUAAUUUCGUAGUCAAUGUGGUACCGGAAAUCUCGGCUAAGAAAGGACAAGACAAAGUCAACGGGAGUUAGCUCGAAAAUUACGGUUUGUAUUUCUAUAAUCCGAACUUAGUUAUUAUUUGUUAUAUUUAUAUACAUAUGGCAAUUGUUAGUGUUAGAAUUAUGAUGUUUUACAAUUAGAAUGGAUUGAUUUUGGUAUGCGAUGAAUUUAUUGAAUUUAUAUUGAUUGAAAUUAUUUUGAUUGAAUUUAUAUUGAUUGAAUUAUAUAAUAUAUAUGAUUUAUGUAGAAAUUUGAAUAUUGAAUGAAUAUUAUAUUGAAAAAAUAUAUUGAUUAGAAAUAUGAGGAAAUUUAUAUGAAUAUAUGAGAUUGUGAUACUUGAAUAUUUGAUAUUGAAAAGUGAAUUGAAUUGUAUUGAAUUAUGAAUUAAUGUGAAUAAUUGAAAUAUGUUGUUGAAUUGAAUGAAAUUGUAUGAAUUGUGAAAAUGGGUGAAUAUAAGUGAUUAUCAGAAUGGUAUAUUGAUGGAAGAAUUAUUAAAUUGAGAAAGUGAAUGAAAUACCCUAUUAACUAGUCGGGCUGAGUCGGAUAUAAUUGGCAUGCCAUAGGAUCUGGAAGUGUACGGGAUUUGCCGGCUUUAUCGAUCAGGCACUUUAUGUGUCGUAUAUCAGAUACCUCGUGUGUCGUAUCAGGCACCUCGUGUGUCGUUUUAGGCACUUUAUGUGUCGUAUACUGAUCAGGUACUAUGUACCGUUUUAGGCACAAUGUGCCGUACUGGUGUGUUUGGGUUGGAAUCCGUGUAUCCGUCAAAGUCCGGGUUUGUUAAUAGGGGUAAAUAAGUGAAAGAUAAAUCGAAUAAAUUUGAUUGAUCAAGCUAUUGAAAUGAAACGAGAAAUUGAAUUGAAAAUUGAAAAUUUAUAUGAAAUUGAAAAUAUGAACCAAAGGUUCAUGAAAUGAUUGGAGUUCGAAUUGAUGAUAUAUGAUGUCACUUGAUGAAUUAAAAUGUGAUUUGAGAUAUAUGAAUCGUAUGUUUAUAGUCAAAGCUAUUAGGGAUAGUAAGUUGAUAUGAUAUAAAUGAAAUUGAUUGUUAUUGAAAUGAAUUAAAAUGGAAUAUGAUUGAUAAGUGUAUAGUUGAAUAUAGUUUAAUGAUAUUGAAUUGUGAAUAAAUUAAGGAAAGCUAUACCGAAUAGUAAGUGAAAGAAUGGAGUAAAUAAUAAUGGAUUUAGUUAAGAAUUGAACAAUUAUGUUAUUGUGUUUAUUAUAUGAUUUGUAUAAAAUUUAUAUGGUAAGUAGUUGAAAUUUAUCUAUGAAUAAAUAAUUGAAUAAUUGUAAUUGUUAUUAUGAUCUUAAGUAUUUGUUAUAUUAUAAAUUGUUCGGAUUAUAGAAAUACCACUGAGUAUACCAUACUCAGCGUACGGUUUGUUUCCGUGCGCAGGUUAAGUAAAGAUAGUACGUUGAAUCAGCAUCCCAGGAUGAUCCCGAAUUCAUUAAGGUAAAGUAUGUUCAGUAUUGAUAGUGGCAUGUACCCAGGAUGUUUAAUGAGAGUCAUUUAGGUUGUAGAAGUAUUGAUGAAAUGAGUAAAUUAUGGUUGGCAACGGUAUGUAGUAUGAAUUUUGAAAUUUACUAAAAAUUCGUAGUGAUUCUAAAUUAGUCCCGAAUUGAAUUUACUGUUCAUAUUGGACUGCAAGGGCCCAUUAAAGGGACGACAUCUUAAAACUAGGAUGUGUGUGAAUAUUUAUUUUAAUUAAUGACCGGAAUUGGACUGUACUGACUGGUAAUGUCUCGUAACCCUGUUCCGGUGACGGUAUAGGGUUAGGGGACGUUACACAUUUAGUGGUAUCAGAGCUAUUCAAGUUUAGCCGAUUCUCGGACUAAAUCGAGCUUGAAAUUGAGUCUAGAGGUACAUGCCAUAAUUGAGUCGAAAUUGAGUCGGGAUCGGAUGCUGAUAUAUUUGUUUGGUAUUGUUUUAUAGUGAAAAUGUUAGAGGAAAAUAUCGAUGGUAUUGAUUAUGAAAUGUGUACUGGAGACGAAUAGUCUCGUGAUUAGAUGAAAACUUGAAUCAACAACACUGGGUAUAAACUCAAUGGGUAAUUAAUUACUGAAUAAUGACUGAUGAAAUAAUAGAAAAAGAAAUGAUAAAUAAUUAUUUAGAAUUAUAACUGAUGUUCUUCAGUGAGUAGAAGAAAUUGUAUCUGCUACAGUAUCUAUCCCUCCUGUUUCUUACUCGGUUCCCGAAGUGCUUCAAGGUAUAGAGCUUGUCUGAACGGGUAAGUUAUAUGCUGUUAAUGAUCUGUACAUGUAUAUAUAGUGUGGAUGAAUUGAGAAUUACAGUUGAGAAUGAUCUUGAAAGAACUAAAAUCUGGUUAGAGAAUAUUAUCGGGAUUGUAAAUGAAUUGUUCUGUUCACCGAUUAAAUGUUAGAAGGGUAUGAUAUUUCUGUUAAAAGAUUUAGGUUAUCAGUGGUAGAAAAAUUGAUUAUGUUGUGAUUAAGAAAGGGUUAUUUGGAAAUUUUCUGAGAUGAGUUCUGAAAGAAAUAUAUAUAUCAGUCAGAGAUUUCUUGAUCAGAAACAUACAAAAUUCUUGAAGCUUAAACAGGAUCAUAUAACUGCAACUGUGUAUGAAGGGAAUUUGUUUGAUUAAAUAAAUAUAUCAGAGGGUAUAUUCCGAUAGAAACUGUAUGAUACAAAUGGUUUGAAGAUGGUUUAAAUGAAGACAGAAGCUGAAGAAUAUAGAAUAAGGAAUGGAAUAUGUGUUAGACAUGAUUCUCCUGAUUAUUAUCUUAGUGAUUGCUUGAAGAAAAUUGAAAAAAACAUUAUUCAGAGUUCAAGACCGAGUAAUGGAGUUAACAGAGGUAGGUUACCCUGUAAUCUCAGAAAUACGAGUGAAAGCUGAAGUGUGACAAAUGACUUCACUGUAAAAUCUGGAGAAUGAACAUCAGCCAGGGUAUAUGUUAAUUGUAUAUGAGAAGAUUUAUCUCUACCAGAUGUCAUUACAGGUACUUUCUUCUUUAUCGACACUAAUAUGAUUAUUUUAAAUUGAUCUUGGUUUGACUAUUCCUAUGAUUACAUAAGUUCAGUAUCUAUUAAAGAUUUGUCUGUUGAGUUUGCUGAAAUUUUUGGAUUGAAGCAUUAAAUUUUUUAGAUUAGUAUUUAUGGGCUGAUAAGAUCUGCAGGAACUGUUUGAUAAUGAUACUACUAUUUUCUGAUCGAUUUGAUGUUCUUACUGUUUGAUAUAAUCUCAAUAAUGGAAUGGUUAAUUUUGCAUGAUAUGGUGUUAAAUUAUAAGCAGAAGUAUAAUAUGUUGCAAGAUCAAGAUGAUGAAAUGUUUUGUUGAAUCAGAGAAGAUUGAGCUAAUUGUCUAUUGUGAUAUUGAACAUGCCAACACAGAUAUAUGCCGGAAAGGGGUCAUGGUAUUUACCUUGUUUAUGUAUUGAAUAUUAAAAUAUUUAAGUUAAGGUUUAAAUCAAUGCAAUAGUGCAAGAGAAUUCUAAUAUGUUUCCAGAAAAGCUGCCCGAACUACUGUUGAUUGAAGAAGUUGAAUGUGCUAUAGAUUUUGUAACUGAAAUGAUAGUGAAAAAUAUAUUUGAAAUUAGAGGUUUUCUAAAACUAGUCGGUUAUUACAGAAAGAUAUGGAAUUGGAAUGAUUUGAUAGACGUUAGCAAGGUUCUGAUUAGUUGAAAGCUCAGUUAACUGAAGCACUAGUUCUGGUUCAGUCUGAAAUCCGAUAAAGAAACUUGUGAUUUACAGGAUAGCAGUGUUUUGAUGCAAAAAAAAAAGUGAAGUAAUGGUUUAUGUUACGAAAUGUUAGAAUCACAUGGGAAGAAUUAUUUGAUACCUGAUUCGGAAGCGGUUGUUAUUGUUCUUGCAUUAAAAGAUCAAGAUAUGAUAAUUAAUUAUCAUCCGAAAAAGACAAAUGAAUGUAUGUAUAUUCAAAUUGAAAGCUUUGUUUUGUGUUAUGAGCUAUGAACAUCUCACUGUUAUCAUUUGAAGAUGGAUCAAUUUUGGUAGAGAUAAAAAAAAAUUAAAUCGACUUCUUUACAGUAGAUCUGCGAAGCUCAGAAAUGUAGUAAUGAGUUAUCGGUUAAAUGGAUAUAGUAUACAGAUGAUUUCUGAUUAAACAUUUCGGAUUGGAUAUGAUGGUUGUUUGCUAUUUAAAAAUAAAAGCUGAACAGAGGGAUUCAGAACUUAUACAGGAGAAUUUGCAUGAAAUUAUAGUAGUACUAUAUCUAUGCAUUCUGGAAGAAUAAGAUGUACAGUGAUUUGAGACAGAUGUAUUGAAGACUGGGAAAAGAAAAGCAAUACUUUGAAUUUGCAUAUAAAUGUUUAUAUUAGGUACAGAUAUCUUCAGAACUGUUACAACCAGUGGUGAUAUCAAAAUGGAAAUGGGAUAUAAUUUCUAUGAGUUUGAAUUGGAAUUAUCUCUAUUUUUGAAAAAGAAUAUGCGGAGCUGUUUGAUUCGUGAAAUUGAAGAAAAGUGCAAGUAAUUCAAAACAGACUGAAAGCAACUUUUGAUAGACACAAAUUGUAUGUAGAUUUAAAAUGUCGGGAUUUCGAGCAUUCUGCCAGUGAUGCGGUAUUUCUUAAAGUUUCACAUCAGAAGAAAACUUUGAGAUUGGGAUGAAAAAGGGAAAUUGAAUUCUCGUUCUGUUGGGCCAUGUAAAAUUUUGAAAAAAAAAAUCAGACUGGUAAUAUAUUAUUGAGUUUUACUUCCAAAAUUACAAGAAAUUUAUGGGGAUUAUCAGGAUUUGGUGCUCAAAAGAUGUAAAUCAGAUCUUUUACAUGUUAUAUCGACAAAGGAUAUUGAGAUUUGACGCAAUCUAUUGUAUGAGAAAGAGCCGGUUGAGAUACUAGCCUGAGCGGUAAUGUCAUAAUAUUGAGGAAACAAUACGGGAACCGAAAGAAACAGUGAGAUCACUGAACCCCCACCUCUCUUUUAGGCAAAUUUCGAGGACGAAAUUUCUUAAGGGGGAGAGAAUUGUAAUGACCUGAAUUUUAUCGUUACCGAAAAAUUGUAUUUUCGGGUCUCCGUUUCUGAAAAAUGGAUUCGUAAAUAUUUAUUAAAAAUAUUUACGAAGUAAAAUGAGUGGUUAAUUAGAGUUUAAUUAAGUGAAUUUAAUUUAAUUAAGAGUAAUUAAGUAAAAAGAUCAAAUUGAAUAAAGUGUGAAAGUUAAAUUAUAGAUUAAAAGAAAAUAAAAAGGACUAAAAGGGCAAUUAUACAAAAAGUAUAAAUUGAGGCGGUUUAUCGUGAAGAAAAUCUAAGAUUUUUUUAUGUUUAGUAUAUUAUUAUAUUAUUAUAUUAUAUUAUAUUAUAUAUAUAAACUAAAGAAGCAAAUGAAAGGAAAUAGAAACAGAAUGAAACGAAACAGAGAGCAGGGGAGAAAAAGAAAGAAAGAAGGGGAGAAAAGGGAAAAUUGAAGGUUUGAAACUUUAAGCUUUAAUAGGUAAGUCAAUCAAGCCCUUUUUACUUAAUUUUGAUGUUUUAAAAGUUUUAGAACAAAGUUUUGAUGAAAUUAAGUUGAUAUUUUGAUAGUUAUUAGAUUUCUAGAUAUUGUCCAUGUUAAAUAAAAUGAUGAAUUAAGAGCUAAAUUGAUAGAAAUUCAAGUUAAAAAUGAUACAAGGAUUGAAUUGUAAAGUGAUUCAUAAGUUUUAUGCUUUAAGGACUAAAUUGAAAGAAUAUCGAAAUUAUGGUUUUAUGAUGAAAAAUAGAUAAUUAUGUCUAAGUUUGGUUAAAAAUUGAGUAGAAAUAAAGUAUGAAUUAAGAUAGAAAAGUAAGUGAAUUUAGUUAGAAUUAAAUUGAAAUUAAAGUAAAUCAACAUUUUGUACUAAGACUAUUUUGGACAGUAGCAGUAGUCUAAGUUUGAAAAAUCGCCAAAAAUUGAAGAAAUUGAAUUAGAGGAUGAAUAAAAUAUGGAAUUAAAGAUUAUUGAGUCUAGUUUCUUAUAGAAGAAACGAUAUAGCAAUUGAAUUGUAAAUUAUGAGAUAUAAUGAAUUUUAUGAGACAAGGUUAGAAUGAAUUCGGAUUCCCCUGUUCUGACUUUGGAAAAUCACCAUUAUUUAAAUAUUUUUAAUAAAAAUAAAAUAAUAAUAUUUUAUUUAAAAAAUAUUUUAAUAUAAAAAAUGUAUUGUACUUGUCAGAUAGGCGCGACCCAAAAAAAUAUAAUUUUCGUAUAUAAUUCAACAAACAAACUAUUUCAGUAUUUAAUUUUUUUUAAAAUUUAUUUAGGUAAAAAAUCGGCAUAAUAAAAAGAGAAAAACUAAAAUUUAACCGCUUAAAAAUUUAAAAAAGAACAUAAUGGCGGGAUCUGAUACGGACUAUAUACCUGGGUUUACAAAGUCGGCAUAAUAACGGAUAUAUUGAUAAUUCCAGUAAAAAGUUUCUAUUGCAGUUUCUUUCUUGAUAGAAUUCUAAUUCUAGUGCAAUUAAUAUGAGCUUAAUGUGCUUGAAGAUGAAGCAAGAUAUCUUUGAAAAAGAGAUCAUCACUCCUAGGGAUUUUCCCUCCGCUUAUCCGUCGCUACCUUCGUAAUCUUCAUCUUCGACAGCUUCGCAUCGGAUUUGAACUCUCGUACAAAAGCCGAAGGACCUGUUUAAUUGCAGGUCUAGCCUGCCCUUCUCUUUGGCUGCACCAUCUCACGAUGGGCACAACCUUCGACUAGAAAAGAGAAGCCGGUGGUGACAUUUUUAACAUUCUCCAUCCAGGAAACCUUCCGACUCCGACUAUGCCGAUCAAUCGCAUGAUCAACUCCCAACUACAACAACUCUCCGUCGCGCACAAUUUACUCUGAUAGGUUUAUCCCCAACAGAUCUGGCUCAAAUUUCGUACUUUUCGACUUCUCCAAUUCUCCCGCGUCAGACCAAGGAAAAGAAGAUCGUUCUAUUACUUAUCAAAGCCUUUUACGCGCCACGUUGUUUGGGCCCGAUAAGCCGGGUACUCCGGCUUCCCGCAAUAUUUUCCGGUACAAAACUGAAACUAAACGGUCUUUACAUUCGCUUCGACCUUUAGGGUAUGACGAGUCGGGCCCUGGCAUUAGCCAUAGUCCUGUUAAAGCUCCCAGGAAGGUUCCGACCUCACCUUACAAGGUGAGGUCUUUAUGCGUUUUAUGGUAAAUUGGGUUGAAAUUAGAAAAUUAGUAGGGUCUUUGUGUUGUUCCAAUAGGGUCGGAAGCGUGUAAAUUAUUGUACUAAAAAAUCACACAAAGUUCAAUUCCCAGGGAAGAGAGGUGGAUCACAUGGAUCUCUUAAAUACCAAGUCUUUCUUUAGUCAGAAUAUCCCUUCUCAAUUAUCCCAUUCAACUUUAAACAACUUGCCUACCAUUUUUUUCUUUCGGUGCCACUUGCACCUCCCAUUUUUUUGACUUUUCAACACCCCUUUUAAUUUGACUUUUCAACACUUUGUAAUAAAAAAAUUUUCGGGUUAACAUUUAUUCCUAUGCUUUGUAGGUUUUGGAUGCACCUGGAUUGGAAGAUGAUUUCUAUUUGAAUUUGGUGGACUGGUCAUCCAACAAUGUCUUGGCUGUGGGGUUGGAAAGUUGUAUUUAUUUGUGGAAUGCUUGUGGUAACAAGGUUUCCAAGUUGUGUGAUUUCGGGAUAAGUGAUGGUAUUUGUUCAGUUGGUUGGGCUCAAUGUGGAACUCACCUUGCUGUUGGAACUAACAAUGGCCAAGUUCAGGUUUGGUUAUAGGAUUUUUUUUUCUUAAAAGAUUAUUCUUGCUCCACUAUCGCCUUUGCUUGGAGUCUUCUAACCUCUGUCUAUAUUUCACUUCCAGUCUUUUGCUCAUAGGAUAAUGCAGUGAGUUAAUAUCUAUCACUUUCUUUGUAGAUAUGGGAUGCAUCUAACUGCCGCAGGGUAAGAACAAUGGAAGGGCAUCGAUCACGUGUUGGGGUGUUAGCUUGGAGCUCUUCUCUAUUAUCUUCUGGUAGUCAUGACAACAGCAUUCUUCAAAUAGAUAUACGUGCUCGGGAUGAUUUUGCCAGUAAGCUUGUUGGACACAAGAAUGAGGUGAGACUCUUACUCAUCUUCAGUUUGAUUUAGCAUGCUCAGCAGUAUAUAUAUUUUUUACCCUGACAGUUGUGUAUAUAUGCAUUUAUACAAAUACAUACAAAUACUAUUACAACUGGAUAUGGCUCAGAUUUUUCUGACAUGCAUCUCCUUUUAUUUCAUAAUUGCCACUUCUUUCUCUUGUUUGUCAUGAAUUCAUCGUCCAAUGUUUGUCAUUAGUUAUUUUGGGAAUGGUAGUAAUACUUUUUUUGUGUUCAUUCAUUUUUAUGUGCUUAUUCCCGAACUCUCGAGUCUGAAUCUCCGGUGGCUAUUUGUAGGUUUGUGGACUGAAGUGGUCUUACGAUGACCGUGAACUAGCAUCAGGCGGUAAUGAGAACAGAGUAUGUAAUACAUGUUUUUUUCCCUGUCUAAUUUAUUCCUAUAUAGACUUAUUAUAUUGUUCAAUUUUUGAACUGAUUGAAUGGGGAAUCUCUCAACCAUAUGCAGCUUCUUGUUUGGAAUCAACAUUCGGCUCAACCUGUCCUGAAACAUUGUGAGCAUACCGCUGCUGUAAAAGCAAUUGCAUGGUCUCCCCAUCGGCAUGGCCUUCUUGCAUCUGGAGGUGGUGCAACUGAUCGUUGUAUUCGAUUCUGGGAUACAACCACUAACACACACUUGAGCUGCUUGGACACUGGCAGUCAGGUGAUCAUUUCUUUUUUGGUCUCUAUCAUUUCAUGCCCCUUUAAUUUGUCCUUACACGUGCAUGGAAUGAGAAAAAACACCGAACAGAUAUUCCGCUAGUUUAUUUUUGUGCCUAAGUGCUUAAUACUGGAGUUUACAGUUAUAAUGUCCAUUUUAUGCAUGACAGAUAAGCAAUCUUGUGUGGUCUAAGAAUAUCAAUGAACUUGUCAGUACUCAUGGAUCUUCCCAGGACCAUAUAAUUGUUUGGAGAUACCCUACCAUGUCAAAGGUAUGCGAAGUUUAAAAAUAGUGUAUAUUUGAUAAUAGUUGCUCAUCAUCUACUUUUGUUCCUUUCUAAAAUUUUAUUGUAAUGAUGCAGUUGGCUACUCUCACGGGUCACACAACUCGAGUUCUUUGUCUCGCAAUCUCUCCGGAUGGACAGGUAGGUUGCUUUCCCACGCUUCAUGGUUUCUCUCACCUUCUACUCUAUAGUUGAGCUUUAUUUGUGCGUACAUGUUUUUCCUAUGGUGAAAUGACCUUCUCUUUUUUUUUUCCUUGCAGAAAAUAGUUACGGGAUCUGGGGAUGAGACACUUUGCUUUUGGAGGUUGUUCCCUGCCUCUAAAUCUCAGGUAAUGGCAAACAUUUUUGCUCAACAAAGCUUAUUUCUAUUCAGUACUGUUGAAUGCUUACUUUUUUCUGUUUUGUAUGCGAACUGUCUGCUAGCCAAAAGUUUAUAAAGCAACUAAUUUAUUUGUCGACAUGAUGUUUUUAAACAGAGCACUGAUAGCAAAAUAGGAUCAUCAUCUUUUGGACGAACCACAAUUCGUUGAUUCUAAAUCGUGCUAUGAAUUAUCAGAUUUCAUGAAGAGAUGGUGGAAGCAUUCCUCAUGCUCUGAAAUACCGAACUUGUCAGCCUGAAUCAACCCACAAAAUGUAGUCAAGUGUAGAAAUGUGGAGCAGGUUCAAGAAGUAAUUUGUGGCUAGAUUAUGAAUCCCAAUAUUCUUUUAUUUUUGAUUAAAAAUAGAGAAUUUUUUGGUUCAAUGAUUAAAAUAGAGAGUUAUUGAUAUGUAUAGAGGGAGGUGGUAUUACCUGUGCUUAGCACGAUUCUUUUUGUAAUUCAUCUUAACAAGAGGUGCACAAUUUCCAUAUUGUUUUUUUUAUGUAGAUAAUAUAAAAAAUUAAUUACAAAAAUGUGAUAAGUGAUAGAUUAAUUAUAAAAAUGGUAUGUUCUUUCACUAAUGUGUUAAACAACACUAUCUUAACAAGCAUCUUAUCAUUUGACAAUUAUUUUAGCUGAAAUUUUUUUAAAGUGACGCUAUCAAAUAGUCAAACAACAUAAAAAGAUGAAUAUGUGUAAGAAAAAAAAUAUUUUUUAAAGAGGUAUUAUCUAACACAUUGACAGCAUUGGACGGGAAUUUAAAAAAAAAAUUGAACAGAAAAAAGAGUAAGAGAGAAAAGAAUUGUUUGUGUUAUUUGUGUUGAAGUUUUAGGAAAAGAUUAUGAUAAGGUAUGACUUUUUUUGUUUGUAAUAAUAGUUUGUAUAUUAUAUGUUUAUAUUUUAUUUUUAAUAUUUAAGAUUAUAUUAUUAUAUUUUUUUAUAUUUUAUUUGUUAGUGUUUUGUGUCAACUUGUGAAACCGUUUCUAGUUAUGUGUAUGAUUGAAGUUAUUGGUUCGUUAUUAUUUUUUUAUGUUUGUAAUUUAUAUUUUACUAGAUUAGUUAUGUUUAUAUAUAUUAAUAAAGAUACUUAUGUUUUAAUGUUAUUUUGCAUAGAAUAGAAUAUUUCAAUUGCAAGCAAUCAAGUUAAGGUAAUUUAUUUUAAUAAUUUUUUGUUUAGUUGGUGAUAAAUAUUAUUAUGUGGAAACAUUAUUGUUUUAAAAUGAUAUGUUUUGUAACACCCCUUAGUUCGUCAAGAAGAUAUGACAUGUAUCAAAUAACCAGAUAGACCCUCCAAUAGACUAGGGCGUUACAAACGGAUUCAAAUCUUUUGGCUUAACUUAAAUUUUUGAGAAAACAGUUAUGAAGGUUUCCCAUUUAGUUUAAAACUAUUAUUCUUCUUUCGUCCAGUAUCACGUCUUUAAAGAAAGUAUUAAGAAUUAUACAAGAGAAGUCUCAUUAUCCAACCAUUGCCCAGCUGAGGCAUAUGCAUAAAAAAGAUAAGUUCAUAAAAUACAAAUCAAGGGAGUUUGGAAUACCCUUCCAUAUUAAGGAGCAAUUCUCCUUUUAAGAUAGAAUAAUGCAAACGACAAAGAUAAUUUCAAAAGUUAGGUGCAAAACGUAUGUAUACAUCAUUCGCCAAAUAGCCAUACAAGAUACAAAACAAACAAGUGGCUCACUCGCAACCACAGGUCUGGCGUAAUCCCCUUCAACUGAUUCCUCUUCUACUAGAAAUACGCUUGAAAAAAUAUAAGUAACGAAGUAAGAAUUAAACUUAGUGAGUUCCAAAAAUAGAUACAAUAAUUUAUAGAAAUACCGUUAUUCAACACGUAUCAAUACCCAUAAGAAAAACAAACUUAUACGUGAGAUUCUAUCGUAUAGACACAAUACCUCAAUAAUGUUAUCUACAGUUUAUUGGCAAAAUCACUUUGUCAACACAGUACAUGGACAUUUACUGUUUGUCAACUCAUGCGUUGUAACACCCCUAACUCGUAUCCAUCGCCAGAAUAGGGUUUUGAAGCAUUACCAAAAUUUAUAAAUCAAAAAGAAAGAAAUUUCAUAACAUAUAAUAUUCAGGUUAGAAACCAGUCAAAUUCAUACAUAUUGUCCCUUAUUUGAGCCCUCAAGGCCCAAAAUACAUGUUAGAAAAAAAUUGGGGCUAAUUCGAAACUUCAUAGAAUUUUUCGGAAUAUAUUAAAAAAUUUCAAAUCUACAGGGUUCACAUGACUGUGUGGCCAAGCUGUGUGACUCACAUGGCCAAGAGACAUACUUGUGUCUUAGGUCGUGUGGGCAUUCGAAAUAGGGACACAUGGCCGUGUCCCAACCCUUGUCUAUGCCUGUCUAACUCUCUGACUUGGGUUAUACGGCCAAGCCACACGCCUAUGUGCCAGGUCGUGUACCCUUUAGAAAUGGCCUUACACAUCCGUGUGCUAGCCGUGUGUCUCACAUGGUCAAGUCACAUGCCCAUGUGGACUUAAAAUGUGUCUUAAACAAUAAAUUUGCCAUUCCCUACAUGCUUGGACAUUAAUCAACUCAAAAAUCAUUAGUUUAACCAGUUCAAAACACGAUCAAAUACAUUCAAAACAUGUCAAAACAAUCAUCCUAGGUGCCUAACCAAUGUACCCUCAUUGGUACCACAUUUAUAUCAUUUAUUCAUAUCAUCAAAGCAUCAUUCAAAUCCAAUUUAUAAACAUGCCAAUUUCAAUCCAUUUUGCCUAGUUCAUAAGCACUUAAACACCAACUUAAUUUCACAUGCACAUAUCUAGAUUUGGUUCAAUUUACCAUGCCAUAAUAUGGCUUCAAAACAAACACAAGGUUAUAUAUAUACCAAACCAAUAUUAAACUUAUAACCUCAUUUACAAUCAAUCCAAAAAAUAACUAUUAUUUAGACACCUUAGGUACAUGCCGACACAAAAGAUAGACAUGACCACAUUUAUUUAAAAUCGAGAUCAUUGUUGGAUGUUGAAUCAGCGAUAAAAAAUUAAGUACCUAACCUGCGCACGGUAAACAAAAUCGUACGCUGAGUAAAACUCAGCGGUAUUUCUAUAAUCUGAAUAUUUAAAGACAUAAUAAUAUAAUAUACACAUAUAAAUUAUAAGCACAAUUGAAUAUCUAAAACCAAAUUUAUUCAUACAAUGGCAUUAGCUAUUUAAUACUCAAUUCAAAAAUACCAUACCCAAUUCUCAUCACUUGCUAUAUAAUAGUUUUUCACAUUCUAUUUUCAAUUCACUAUGUCACUUCCAUUUCUUAUACUAUGUCAUAUCAAUUUCAGUUAUAGAAUUUUAUUAUUUAUUUACCCCUAUUAACACGACUCGGACUCGGAUGGAUACACGGAUCCAACCAACACACCAGUUUGGCACCUAGUGCCUCAUCGGAUAAAUCCGAAGUAGUAACUGCGCCCAACGCUAUAUAAAUUGACACCCAGUGUCUUAUCGGUUAAACCGAAGUAAAUUGGCACCUAGUGCCUUAUCAACUCGAAGUCAAAGAAAUUCGUGAACUCUUCUUAUUCUAUGGCAUGCCAAUAUCCAAUAUUAAAUUUUUAUAUAAACACAUGAAUUCAAUUCAAUUUACAUAAAUUCAAUAAAUUCAUCACAUACCGAAUCAAUCCAUUUCAAUUGUAAAUCACAAUAGUUCUCACCUCCAAUACUUACCAUAUGCAAGAAAUCAAAAUGCAAUAAUUUUACAACUUAGUUCAGAUUAUAGAAAUACAAAUCAAGAAUUCUGAGUUAUUCGAUGUUGACUUUAUCUUUCCCCUUUUUAGUCAAGGAUUUGGUAUGACGUUAGCUACGGAAUUAAAACAAUUAAAAUUCAUCAAUAUAACACAAUUCAAUUUCAUAUUGAAAUUUCAAUUUUUACUCAAUAUUUGCCUAAAUUUUAAUUUAAUCCCUAAACCGAGACUAAUUUUUAUUCUUCACAAUUAAUUUUAUAUUUUUACACAAAUUUCACUUUAAAUUAAAUUUAACUCCCUAUUUUCACUUAAAUUCUUAAAUUUCAAAAAUUUUACAAUGUAGUCUCUAUUGCUCAAAAUUUACAAUUUAUUCUACAAUUUAAUCCUUUUUUUUUUACUUCUAGCUUAAAAAUCUAUCAAUACUAAAAUUAUUCAACAUUAAUAACUGAUAAGCCAUAAAAGUAACAUGUUUUUAAUCCCAUUCUUGAUGCGUUUUUGGAUGAUUUAUUAUAUGAAUUAGUGAAUUUGAUGCUCCUAAUCUUCUAAAUUCAUGUUUCUAUACUAAGGUGAGCAUAAGGGGGCGAAAGGAGCCAAAAAAGAGCCAAAAUCGAGCAAAAAGAGUUAUUUCCAAGAUCUACACGGCCUGGGCAUUUCUACACUGGCUGGCCACACGCCCAUGUGAGCCACAUGGGCUGGCCACAUGCCCAUGUGCCAAUCUGUGUCGAUUUCGCACCCUGCUUCCCUGUUACGUGAAAAAAACCAAAUUUUUAGGGUUUUUGAGCAUUCUAAAAUCUAUAAAUACACACUAGAAGAGGACCUAAAGGGGCACGCAGAGUAGAACGCAGAAAUUACUCGAAUAAUGUCGACGGACUCAACUCAGAAGCAGGAUCUCCUUCAAGACUGAAUUUAUCCAUUCAAUUUCUUUAAAAUUUUUUUGGGUUUUUUUUAUAUUUUGUUGUUUUCCUAUUUUUGAGAUGUUUUCCUUUCCAAGUAUGAACUAAAUUCCCUAAAUACCUAGGGAAGAUGAAACCUAUGACAAAUCUUAUUAUUUGAUUUUUCUGAAUUACAUGAUAAAUAUUUGUUCUUAAUCUCAAUUAAGUUUACUUACCUUCAUGUUUAAUGUUUUUAGGAUAUUAAUAUAUGAUUGAUGUGCUUAUUCAGUGGAGCAAAAGUCCCUGUUUACGAGUAGAUCUGGCAUAAUUUAGUGGAGUUGCAUGCAAUCCUAGAAAUAAGACGACAUAAAUCUAUCGGAUUAGAGUCAAAUCUAAUAGGGGAAUCCAUAAAUCGAGUUAAUGUAACGAUAGGGGUUUUAAUUAGAAAGAUAUUUCAAUUAAUCAACCUAGAGUCGAUUUUUUUAUUCUCAAAUGAGAUAUUAUUAUAAUUUAUAGAUUUCUACGGAUCAAGUAAAAUGACUAAAUCGUUUAAUUCAAAUGUAGAAUAAUAGGUGAAGUCUAUGUGGAUUCUUUCCUGGUAUUGUCUCUCUCAUAAGUUUUUCUUCGAUUAUUUUCUCAAUUCGCUCUCUGUCACUUAGUAAUUAGUUUAGUUAAAAUUAGAUUUUAAAACAAAUCCUUUAAUUUAUUCGGCUAAAUAAUAAAAAGAUAGUAACUACUAGUACUUUUAGUCCUCAUGGAUACGAUAUUCCCGACUCACUAUAGCUAUACUACCAUUCGAUAGGUGCGCUUGCCUUUGUCAUAUUUUAGUUAGUUUGUGACGUCAUCAAGUUUUUGGCGCCGUUACUAAAAUAUUAGGAACAAUUAAUUUUUAUUACCUUAGCCAUUUUUUUUAUUUUUAUUACACUUUAUUUUUGUUUUUACUUUUAUUUACUAACUUUUAUUUUAUUUUCUUUUGGCAGGUUCCUUUCAUUUAUGACUAGAAGAAACCCGUCAGGACCUCUAGUAUUCGACAGUGAGAUCAAAAGUACAGCUUGCAAAAAUAGUAGAGAAGCGAGGCAGAGUCGACUGAGUAUAAUAUAAGAGCAAGAGGAUGUUGUUAUUAAUACUGAGGAGAUGACAGAAAAUCAUAAUAAUCAGCUACCUCAUGUGGUUGCUGUAAAUCCUGUAAAUCUGAAUCCUGCUCAUCGUACUAUGUACGAUUAUGCCAAGCCCAAUUUAACUAGGGCUGAAUCGAGUAUUGUUAGACCUGCUGUUGCUGCAAAUAAUUUUAAACUGAAACCUAACACUAUUCAAAUGAUUCAACAAUUUGUUCAGUUUGAUGGUUUGCAGGACGAAGACCCAAAUGCUCAUUUGGCUAAUUUCUUGGAAUUCUGCGACACUUUUAAAAUUAAUGGCGCUUCUGACGAUGGCAUUCUAUUUACCUUUUUGUUGAGGAAUAAGUCUAAAUAGUGGUUGAACUCCCUACCACAAGGUUCUAUCACUACAUGGGAACAACUGACCGAAAAAUUCUUAUUGAAGUACCUUCCACUGGCUAAGACAGCCAAGCUGAGGAAUGAUAUCUCUUCCUUCGUACAAAUAGAUCUAGAGACUCUAUAUGAUGCAUGAGAGAGGUAUAAGAAUUUAUUAAGAAGGUGACCUCACCAUAGGUUACCUCUAUGGCUACAGGUUCAAACUUUCUACAACAGUUUGAACCCCUCAACUAGGCAAUUGAUCGAUGCAUCCGUCGGUGGGACUCUAAAUGAUAAAACACCUGAGGAGGCUUAUGAGUUUAUAGAUGAGAUGUCACUAAAUAAUUAUCAAUGGUAAGUCAUAAAGACAAAGCCGAUGAAAGCAGCCGGUGUUUUUAACAUUGAUGCGGUCACCAUGUUGUCAAAUCAGGCAGAACUUUUGAAUAAAAAGAUUGACUUUUUUAUAUGGUUCUAUGCAGUUACAUCUGGUGAUGCAAUACAACGCAAAUGGAUGGGGGAACCAUUUAGAAAAUCGAUCCUACAACCUAAGCACAGAAGACGAACAAGUCAACUAUAUGGGUAAUAAUUUUAGACCUCAGAAUAAUCCCUAUAGUAACACUUAUAAUGCAGGUUGGAGGAACCAUCCAAACUUCUCUUGGGGUGGUCAAGGAAAUCAAAGACAACAACCCCCUCCAGGCUUUCAACCACCUUACCAGCAGGAGAAGAAGCCGAACCUUGAGGAGAUGUUGACGAAGUUUAUUUCGUUGUCAAAAACUCGUUUCUAAAACACCGAAACAUCACUCAAAAAUCAAUAAGCGUCGAUUCAAGGGCUUGAGAAUCAAAUCAGUCAAUUGGCAAAGAUGAUUUCAGAAUGACCACAAGGUAACAUGCCAAGAAACACCGAAACUAACCCAAGAGAGUAUCUUCAUGCGAUUACUGUUCGAGAUGAAGAAGGGUUAACUAAAUUUGAAUCUGAACCGAGCUAAGAAACUGUGGUAAGCAAUGGUAAGGUUGAGGUAAGCCAAAAUAAGCAAGAUUCGGUCGGUAAGGAAUAUAAACCUCGUGUGCCAUAUCCAAAUGCGACAAGGAAAGACCAGACAAACGAACAAUUCGAUAAAUUCCUUAAAUUUUUGAAAAAAUUACAUAUUAACUUACCGUUUAUUAAAGCUCUUUCGUAGAUGUCAAAUUUUGUUAAAUUUUUAAAGGAACUUUUAGCAAAUAAGCAGAAGUUAGAUGAUUCGUCGCACGUGGAACUAAAUGCAGUAUACUCAGCCAUUUUGCAGAAUAAACUACCCAACAAAUUGAAAGAUCCAGGGAGUUUUACUAUUCUUUGUUUAAUUGGCAGUUUAAGUGUUAAUAAUGCUUUGGUUGAUUUAGUGGAUAGUAUUAAUGUCAUGCCCUACAAAAUGUUUAAGUAACUAGGUCUUGGGAAACCUAAACAAACUAGGAUGAGCAUGCAAUUGGCAGAUAGAACAAUUAGAUUUCCUAGGGGUAUUGUUGAAGAGGUACUCGUCAAAAUUGACAAAUUUUUUUUCCCAUUUGAUUUUGUUGUUCUAGACAUGGAUGAGGAUAGUGACGUACCAUUGAUUUUAGGAUGGCCCUUUUUAGCAACUGCUAGAACUAUCAUAGAUGUUGGUACAGGUGAGUUAAUACUUCGUGUAGGUGAUGACACGAUUAAACUCCAAGCUCAUGAUUUUAUUAGGAUAUCUAGUGAUCGAGAUGAUAUUUCGAGUUCUACUAAUGUUAAUAACCUUGUAGCUCAACAUUCUUUGCAGAAAACACCUCGAAAAAACGUGACAGAGCUGCAGUCUAGUUUACAUGACAAAAAUAAAACAAAUCAUGAAAAAAGAAGAUUACAAAUCGAUGAACUAGAUGAAUGGAAGACACAUGUCAGGGAGAACCUAGAAUACACAAUGAACCAAAGCGACUCCAUGACAAGCUUAAGGAUGGGACGAACCAAUUUAAAAUUGGCGAUCAGGUAUUGUUGGAUAAAACGGACCCUCGAAUCGUCACUUCAGAGCUUAAUUCAAAUGGAGCAACUCCUUUUACUGUACUGAAUAUUUUCCCAUACGAUACAGUCGAGGUAAAUCAUUCUAAAUUUGGCACUUUUAAGGUAAAUAUUACUCGACUAAAACCUUAUGUUGAUAAUAGAAUUGACAGUGAGAAAGAGGAGUUUCGACUCCGUGAACCACCGUAACCGUGCGAAUACGAGAUUAGUAGAGCUUAGACUUUAAAUAAGUACUUCUCGGGAGGCAACUCGAGUGUUAACAUUGUGAAUUUUUAAAAUUAAUUAAUUUUUAAAAUCUAAAAAAAAUGUGUGUUUUUGACCCAUACGGCCUGGUUACAUGGGUGUUUGGAGCACACGGCCUGGCCACAUGGGCGUGUGGGAUCUCACAUGGGCGUGGGAGAAGUGAAGGAAAACACACACGACCUAGCGACAUGGCCAUGUGACUGACACGGCCUGGACACACGGGCGUGUCCUAGCCCGUGCCCGUGUGAAACCUGGAGGUAAUAUUUUUUCAAAGUUAGAGAGUUACAUGGGUAAGGCAUACGGCCCUGUAAUCCACACAGCCUAGCCACACUGGCAUGUGGGAUCUCAUAUGGGCGUAGGAGAAGCGAAGGAAAACACACAUGGCCUGGCACAUGGCUGUGUGAUCCACACGGCCUGGACACACGGGCAUGUCCAUGACCAUGUGAAAACUGGGUUAAUUACCCCAACUUUAUUUUAUUUAUUAUUAAUUGUUAUAUUAUUUUUUAUUUUACUAAUUAAUUAAUUUAUUAUUCUUAUUCUUAUUCUUAUUCUUAUAUUUUAUUUUUUUAUAUAUUUUUUUAUAUUUUUUUAUAUUUUUUUAUAUUUUUAUUAUUUUUAUUUUACUAUUUUUAUUUCUAUUUUUUUAAUUUUUUACUAUUAUCAUUACAAUUAUCUUUAAGUUUAUUGAUAUCAUUGAGUUUAUUAUUAUUAUUAUUAUUAUUAUUUAUCUUUCUUUUAAAUUUUGUUUUAGUUGUUUUAUUUUUUAUUUUCUUCAACUUAUUUUCAUUAUUAUCUUUUGAAAUAUUUAUGGUUGUUUCUAAUCGAGUUAUAACCCCUUAAUCUUCUUUAUUAUUUGUGUUUAUUUUCUUGUUAGUUUGCUCGGAAUCAUAAGUUACAUUUAGAUUUGACUGCAAUUCCGCAUUUCACUAUUCUGAAGAUUUCAUCCAAUAUACAGGGUAGUUUCAGUUUUCUCCUUUUCUUAUGAUAUUCUGUUUAUAUUGUAAUUAUAUAUGUUUGUACAUUUAGGACAAUGUACAUCUUAAGUGUAGGAAGGUUAUCUAUAGAAUUAUUAGAAAAUCCCUGAAUUAUGUCUUGUGUUUAAGUAAUUUUCUCACAUUACUAUUAAUUCUUAUUGAUUUAUGAUUAUCAUUGAUGUGUUUUAGAUUAAAUUCAUAGAUAAUUGUGAAUUGAUUAUUUGAACUUUAAGACACUAGAGAAUCAAGCAUGAUAAGUCUAUUUUCAGAAUUAAAAAUUUUAGGUUGUUUCCCUAAAUUGAAGUAUUACCUUGAAGUUUGAGAUUUGCAAGAUUAACAUCAAAAACCAUAAUUUUUGUGAGAUUUUAAGCCUUUAGAGCAUACACUUUUCUUGUUCACUCUAUUAUUGGUUAUGAGUGUGUCAAUAUUGAUUGGUUAUUCUAGAACUUGCUUCGAUUAUACAUGUCGAGACCACACCUUUGAUUUGAUAUAGUGAGAUGAUAUAGGCAUCUAGGUUUUAACCCACUUAUACCAUAAGCCUACCUUUAUGAUUAACCCUUAAUAAACCCUCUUUAAGCUUAACAAGCCAUUUCUUGAUUUACCCAUUAAUAUUAACUCAUAACUCAUUUUUGAUUCAUUGAGAAUUGUUUCCCAUUUUAUUGACUCCCUUUUUGUCGAGAUUUGAUUUGAUUAGUUGCUUAACUAUGUUAUUUUGUUUCAGUUGUUAAAUUUCCUCUUAUUAUCCAUUGUUCUAAAAAAAAUGAAAAAAAAGUGAAAAAAAAAAUUAUGUUGAUUAUUACUAGUUCUAUGUUUUUGAGCUUAAGUAGUUAAUUUCAUAUUCUGAGAAGAAGCUCGCGUUAUUCUUUAAUAAUUUCGAUUGAUGUAAUUAUUCAGUAUUAGUUUAUUUUUCUAGUUAGGGAAUUUAUCAAUUCAAUCUCGAUUCUAAUAUUCCUUUUUAGCCUUUAUCCACACCUUUAACCCAAGCCCCGUUACAACCCUUUAAAGACCUUUUGAUUUGUGUAUCAUAUCAUUUUAUAGUGGUGGAGAUUUGAUUGUCAUACAAGCCUAUGGUAAUGACUUUUCAUAAUUGACUAUUGAGUGCUGAAUUUUUAAACCUUAAAUACUUUUAGUGAUUUGAGUGAAUCUUUAGUGAGGAUGUAAAAUCUUGUCGAUUUUGAAUUAAAGGUAAUUACUUGGAUGAUUUAUCAUAUGAAUUAGUGAACUUGAUGCUCCUAAUCUUUUAAAUUCAUGUUUCUAUACUUAGGUGAGCAUAGGGGGCGAAAAGAGCAAAAAACGAGCUAAAAUCGGGCAAAAAGAGCUGUUUCUAGGAUCUACACGGCCUGGGCAUUUCCAUAUGGGCUGACCACACACCCAUGUGCCAGUCUGUGUCGAUUACGUACCCUGCUUCCCUGUUACAUGGAAAAACCCAAUUUUUAGGGUUUCUGAGCAUUUUAAAUUCUAUAAAUACACACUAGAAGAGGAGCUAAAGGGGUACGCAGAGUAGAACGCAGAAAUUACUCGAAGAACGUCGAUGGACUCAACUUAGAAGCAGGAUCUCCUUCAAGACUGAAUAUCUCCAUUCAAUUUCUUUAGAAGUUUUUGGGUUUCUUUAUGUUUUGUUGUUUUCCUAUUUUUGAGAUGUUUUCCUUUCCAAGUAUGAACUAAAUUCCCUAAAUACCUAGGGAAGAUGAAACCUAUGACAAAUCUUAUUAUUUGAUUUUUUUGAAUUACAUGAUAAAUAUUUGUUCUUGAUCUCAAUUAUAUUUACUUACCUUCAUGUUUAAUGUUUUCAGGAUAUUAAUUCAUGAUUGAUAUGCUUAUUUAGUGGAGCAAAAGUCCCUAUUUAAGAGUAGAUUUGGCAUAAUUGAGUGGAGUUGCAUGCAAUCCUAGAAAUAGGACGACAUAAAUCUAUCGAAUUAGAGUCAAAUCUAAUAGGAGAAUCCAUAAAUCGAGUUAAUGUAACGAUAGGGGUUUUAAUUAGAAAGAGAUUUUAAUUAAUCAACCUAGAGUUAGUUUUUUUUAUUCUCGAAAGAGAUAUUAAUAUAAUUUAGGAACUUCUAUGGAUUAAGUAAAAUGAAUAAAUCGUUUAAUUCAAAUGUAGAAUAAUAAGUGAAGUUUAGGUGGAUUCUUUCUUGGGUAUUGUCUCUCUCAUAAGUUUUUUUUCGAUUAUUUUCCCAAUUCGCUCUCUGUCAUUUAGUAAUUAGUUUAGUUAAAAUUAGAUUUUAAAACAAAUCCUUCGAUUUAUUCGGCUAAAUAAUCAAAAAAUAGUAACUAAUAGUACUUUUAGUCCUUGUGGAUACGAUAUUCUCGACUCACUAUAGAUAUACUACCAUUUGAUAGGUGCGCUUGCCAUUUUCAUAUUUUAGUUUGUUCGUGACGUCAUCAAUAACACUUAAAAAGUUAAUAAUUGCUAAAAUUUCGAUAUGGGUCGGGCAAUACUUAACCCCAAGGUUUCAAAAACAUACAAAUUACAAGAAAAUGGGACUAAAUUGACUAACUAAUUGAACUUGGAAACUUUAAAGCCCCCAAGGCCGUGCGUGUAACACCCCUAACCCGUAUCCGUCACCGGACUAGGGUUAAAGGCGUUACCUAACAAAUCGGAACAUUUCAUAAAUAAUUCACAAACAUCAUUCACACAUAAUCAUACAUCAUUACAGAGUCCCUUACAUAGGUCAACAAGACCUUAAACAUGCUUUAGAAAGGGGUCGGGACUGAACCGAGUUCAUACAAAAGUUUUCAAAAUUUAAACAAUUUUCAAAGUUGUACAAGUCACAUGCCCUUGUGAACAGACUGUGUGCCUUACACGGCUUUAGACACUCCCGUGUGUCUAGGUCGUGUCAAAACAGGGCCUACAUACUGACUUGUCCACACGGCCACAAGACACGCCUGUGUGUCAGGCCGUGUGAAAAUUAGGGAGGCUACUGACUUGGGUCACACGGCUGUGUGUCUAGGCCGUGUUAGAAACUGACUUGGCCACACGGCCUAGCACACGCCGGUGUGCACGACCUUGUGAUCUUCCCAGGCUCAUUUCGAAAUGGCCCUCGAGCAACAUGGCUGAGACACAUACCCGUGUCUCUGCCCAUGUGGGCAAAAAAAUAGGCCAUUUAUAAGGCCAAAAUGCCACCCAUUAAGGGUCCUCCCUACAAGCAUCAAAAUUACAACAUUUUAUACCAAAUUCUCAACCAUUUCAUAACCAAAUCAUACACCAAUUAAGCCAUAACAUUAUCAACCAAUUUCAUGCCUAAUAGCCAUACCAAAUUAUGCCAAAACAUAAGACAAAAUCAUAAUUAUACAUUUGUUUCAUGAACUCAUUUUACUUCAUUCAAUCACAUGUUAUAAACUUACCAAUUUCUCAAAUAUGCACAUACCAAAACUUACCAAAAUUGACCAUUUCAUUUGGUCAUUCAUAUACACAUCAAAUAAGUAUAUUUUGCAUCAUAUAUCAUAUUCCAAAAUCAAACCAUAAGUUCAACCAUAAUUAUACACUUCACAAAACAUAUUCAACUAUCUCUAGCCUAUACAUGCCAUACUUCAAUAUUUACACUUACAAAAUGUACCAAAAUAGAGUUUGAUAGUGUGGUGAUGAUCCUCGACAAUCCCCGAGCUCUCAGUAGUUUCGAUAUCUAUAAAACAGUUGAAAAACACACAGAGUAAGCUUUCAAAAGCUUAGUAAGCCAUAUACAAAUAAACUUAACAUUCAAAACAUGGAAGCAUCAUUAAAUUAAAUACACUCCAUGGCCAAAUACCAUCUCAAACCAUAUAGUUCAUAUAAAUUUAGCAUAUUCCCAAUUCAUUUACACAUAUAGCAUACUUUCUCAUAUUUAUAACAUAUAUCAUCACUUGUACAUAUACUUACCUUUUAUUUUCAACAUAGUAUACAUUUCGAACGUACUUGAAUCGGAUAUACAUCACAUAUAAUCAUUCGUUUCUCGAAAUGUCGUUGAACUGUUCGGAAUCAUAAGGAUACGUGGAUAACUCGGAAGCUCGUACAAUGCCAACGUCCUAGAUGUGGUCUUACAUGUAAUCAAAUAUCGAUGCCACUGUCCCAGACAUGGUCUUACACGAAAUCAAAUAUGAUGCCAACGUCCUAGACAUGGUCUUACACAUAAAUCAUAAGUUGAUGCCAACGUCCCAGACGUGGUCUUACACGAUAACACAUAUCGGAUCCUAUGUCAUGACAGAUGUAUCCUAAAUAUUCCUAUGGUUCGUACAGAGCUUUUCGGACGUCAGAACUUUGUCGAUACUUUCUCGGAUAUCUCAGAUUCAAUUUAAUAAGCCAUUUAUCAUUGUUCAAUAGCAUUUAAACAUAAGUAAACCAUUACAAACACAUUUAUUUGUAUAUAGACUUACCUCGUACGGAUUCGGAUUGAUGGAAUCAGCUACUCGACAAUUUUCGACUUUCCCCGAUCUAAUUCUAUUUUUUUUAAUUCUUGAUCUAUAUAAAUUCAAAUUUAACUCUUUUAUUCACAAAAUCAUUCAAAUCAAUCCACAAACACACAUUUAGGGCAUUUUAAAAAUUAUCUCUUAUAUUUUCAUAUUUUAACAAUUUAGUCCCUAAUCACAAAAAUUACAAAAUACACAAAAUUUGCAUAUACUUAUGCUUAGCUGAAUAUUCAUAGCACUCAUACAAGUCCACAUAUUUCAUUUAUUUCACAUUUUAGUCCCUCAAUUUACAAAUUUCAUAAUUUAGUCCAAAUUACUCAAAUUCAUCAAAAAUUCAAAUAUAAAAUAUAUCAACCUAACACAUAUCUUUCAAUUUCUAUCAACUAACUUCACAAAGCUCACAAUUUCAUCAAUGGAAUAAUUCAAAAUCAUCAUCAAAAUCAUAAAUUUAGGCAUGGGCUUGAUAGAACACUAAGCAAUGAUCACAAAAAUGUAAAAAUUAUCAAAAACUGAGUCAAAACCAUACCUUAAUCAAGUAUUGUGAAUGCCAAAUGCUUGAACCAUAGAAAUGGUGUUCUUAUUCUCUUAUUUUAGGUGGAAGAAGACUUAAAAUGAACUAAUUUAAGCUUUUCUUUUAUUUAAUAUAUCAUUUAUAACUAGUUUACCAUUUUGCCAUUGCAUCAUAUCAUUAAUAAACCAUUAUCUAAUGCCCAUUUAAGUCAUUUAAUGCAUGCCAUGGUUAAAUAACCACAUAAGGACCUCAUAUUUAAAGAGACACCUCAAAUAGGCACUUGAACAAACAGCAGGCAACUUUUAUGCUUUUCGCGAUUAGGUCCUUUUAUCAAAUUGAGCACACAAAUGAUUAAAUUUUCAUACAAAACUUUCACAUAUGCUAAUUCACAUAUCAUAAGCACGGAAAAUGAUAUUAAAUAUUUUUCUGACUCAGAUUUGUGGUUCCAAAACCACUAUUCUGUCUAGGGUCUAAACCGGACUGUUACAGUGCACCUAUUCUUUCUUCUAUUCUUUCUUUUUUUCUUUCUUUUUCUUUCUUAAUUUUGAUUUGGCCUUCUUUUUCUUUAUUUCUUUUGUUACUUAUUUUUUUUAUUACAAUUAUAUAAUAUAUAUACUUAAUACUUAAGAUUUCAUAUUAUAAUAUAUAUAUAAAAUAAAUUUACAAAUAUCUUACCUAAUACCAUCCUACUAAAGAGACAAUGGUAUAAUUGCCUCUUUAGUCCCUUUAAUUAUUCUUUAAUCUAUAAUUCAACUUUCACCCUAUUUAUACCUAAUUACUUUUAAUUCAAGUAAUUUCACUUAACUGAAACCUAAUUAACCACACAACUAGCUUCGUAAAUAUUUUUAUAAAUAUUUACGAGUCUGAUUUACGGGAACGGAGUCUCGAAAAUGCACUUUUUGACACCCAUGACUAUUGGGUCGUUACAUGCGCAACUCUCACAAUUAUGCAAGUUUACAAAUGACUCUUCCUUAUGCCAGCCUCGGACCCAUAAUUUAGAAUUCAGAAUCACAAUUCAGUUAUAUUCAUAUUCAUAUCAUCCUUGUUAAGUUGAACACGUAUUCUAUCGCAAGGCUGAGCCAUGAUCUAUUGGUCUGGUUUGCAAUAUAAUUUCUUUACUCGAGGCAUUACAAACAGGUUUCCUUUCUAUAUUUUCAUAUAUCACAAUUUUUCUGGUACUGGGUUCGUGCAACAAAGAGGGUGUUCUUACCUUGAAAAGGACCAUACUCAUACAUACAACGUUGGUUUAUUACACAUGCGUCCAAACACAGCACAAUGACUCAUUUAUAGUAGAGACAACUUACUGUACACAACUUACAUAUCAUGGAAGUAUCAUAACCCAAAGGAAGUAAGAAGGAACUCACAAACAAACUUUAGAAUAGAAUCUACUCUACUUGUCUUUUGCUUCGAUUGCACAGACCUUCACUAGCUUCUUGAGCUAAAUAAGAAACAAUUAUAACUAUCAGAUCGUUUAUCUAAUUUAAUCAUACAUACACUAAUGCAAAAACAUAAAUCCCUUCAACAACAACCUAAGGGCUUUCCAAAAAUUACUGGUAAGUUGGUACUUAAAAAUGGUGUUUUGACUAACUACUGGAACCAUUUUUGUCUUCUGUGAUGAAGAUAACUUAAAAAUUUCCAGAGACUCAGAAAAAGAUGUAGAGAAAAAACAAAGGUGAAACAUGUUGACUAUCGGCAUCCAUAUAUAGCACGAAUAGCGGGGACAAAGCUUAGUGGGAGGGUCAGAAAAUCCCACUAUAACCUUUGAAACCCGAGAAAAGACUUGUCUAAAAUUUUAAAACCUAAUUAUCUACCAAACAUAACUACUACCACUAAUCAGCUUAGUGAGUAGUAAAACGUUGCUUGCACACUAAAAUAAGUCAACUAAACAAAUUAUUUAGCUACCUAAACAUAUCAAACUGUCAUCUACAGUACUCUAGUUCAAUCUAACUAGGUCUCAACUAAACUCUAACGAUACUCACCAAGUCAUGUUUUCACACUAAAGUACAGAAAACAAAACUAUCGAUCCGCGAACUAAUAAGUUCACCUAAAGUAUCUAGGGUUGGUUAAUUGUCUCCCAAAAGAGUCCACCAAAUGGCAAAUUCCAGCGAGACAUUUAGCAAAAUAGGCGUACUAUGAAACCCAUGCAAUACGCCACCCAGACACUUAACGGAGAAUUUACCAACCUCAUCCUUUUUCUACCCUGGCUUUUUCAACUAUGUGCCAAACAACAUAUCGAUACAGUCUAUGUGGGGUGGGCUGUUACAUUUUUAUUCAAUUUUUUGUGCAGAUAUUGAAAUAAGUUUAUUGAUUAAAGCAACCAAUUAUACUGUCAUGAUGAUUAAUGUGUCGAUUAAAAAAAUUGCUAUUUGCUAUUCACGAGUAUUUUAUAAAUUUGCACGUCAUUGUUUUUUUAAUUGACAUAUUUAACUAAUAUGGUAAUUUGUUAUGGCUAGGGUGAGUACUACAUCUUGAGAGUGUGUGUCCAUGGUCUGAGCUACCUACUAGACGAAUGUAUUUUCCCAUAUUUGGAUGCCGCAAGAUUUGAAAUAGUGGCAUUGAUUAGGACGUUUGAGCUUAAGGCUGACUUGAUAUCGGCCUUGGUUGAGAGGUGGCGCUUAAAAACCCACACAUUUUAUUUGUUAUGUGGGGAGUGCACCAUUUCCUUAAAAUAUGUUGCAUUGCAACUUGGGCUCCCAGUUUACUAUGCUACAACCACGGGUUCAAGUAAGGUGAUCAAACCUGCGUCAUUUUGCUAUCAGUUACUUGGACGAUCAUCAGGUGAUGGUGUUGCUAAAUUUACCAAUUUAAAAUUUUCUUAACUCAAUCAAAAUUUCAAAACUUUACUGAGUAUUGUCUCUAAGUGUGGGAAGAUGUGCACUGUUUGGGUGUAUAUAAUGGAGCUGAUAGGGAGUACUCACGAUAGACUCAUGUAAUAAUAAAGUCCACAUGAUGUAUUUGUCUAUGUUGGCUGAUUUUUCCAGUUGUCCGUUCGUAUAGUUGGAGUUCAACAGUAUUAGCAAUGUUGAACUGUGAGCUUUGUCAGGCGACAAAGCACGAUACACAAUAUAAAGGUAAAAUGACAUUUUUGGCAACAUUGAGUCACUAAAAAUAUGAUUUCUCACUUGUAAAUAGGUGAAAAAAAAAAUUAAAACAUUGAUUAAAAAUUGUUUUUCAUGAAAAUAUUGUCUAUCAAUUUUGUUUUCUUUUAGAUGGUGUAAUUGUUCGGGGAUUGGGAAGUCGAAAACCCUUGCUGUGUAUAGACAAAUGAUUGAGGCAUGUACUGGAGAUGUGGUAAAAUUUUUUCAAAAUAAAAUUACAUUUAUGUCAUUUAUUAUUUUAGUUAUGUUAUUUUAUUCAUGUCAUUAUAAUCAUGAUAUUAAUUGUGCAGUUCUUAUGGAUGUAAUAUGUUGCGGGUGUAAUUGCCCAGUCGACUUACCACCAUUCAUAUGUGUGGUGCAUUAAAACACUAACCCUAAAAUUUUCAAUCGUUGAAUGGUACAACAGAGACCGGGUUCUGUGACAAUUCAGGUGUAAGCAAGAUAUUCUAGAUGUUCUAAUCAACUUUGACAAUGUCCACGGCAUUAAUAAGAGGGGAAAAGAUGUAAAGAAUUGAAAAUUGGAGAAUCGACAAUGGAUCAUAAUAUGGAAUACUUGGUUGGAUAGGAGGCCUCAAAUAAACUCUUGUGUGGGGGGUUUCACACCCUCGGUCCAUUACUAACAAUGGUAUAUGGAAAAUAGGUUGUCGUAUUUAAUUGGUGGUUGAUGAUAGUUCCUGGACACAUGCACUGACGAGGACAUCAACAAAGUGUACCGAGUCACUCCUAUCCUCACUGAAAACACUCUCCUCUUGCUCUCGGGCCUAAACCUAUAGCUGUCGAAGAAAAUGUAAAGGAUAAUGAGUAUUCGGUUCAUACACAAACAUAAUCGCAACUUGUGUAUGAGUUUUUGGGUACAUCAAUAUCCAGACUAGUUCUUACCAUCUGGAGUUGCGUAGUGACAGUUUUGCGUCAGAGCUCUAAGGCUACUCAUAUUAUACGUAGAUGUUCGGUUCCAGUUCUCAUUAUCAACAAUUGGGGUCAUCAAUGAUGGAUGAUAUGUUUAGCUCUGCAUUCUAGUACUUCACACCUACCUGUCAAAACCUUUAGGACAUCAAUUUUUCGGGUUACUUUGAUACACCCCAAGGUUCGUCAAUGGAUGAUAAGAAUGCAGGUUCAGGGGAGGAAAACAUUAAACUCCUAAUAAACCGUCACGAACAACCCAGAAGUCAACGAAGGGCACCAUAAUGUUUUAUCCUGCAAGCAACUCCAUCUAACCAUCAGUUUUGAUUAAUGAAAAUUGUUAAGUGAAUUUAUACAAAUUCAAAUAAGGUUUCAUUUUUUUCCCUUUAUCUUAAACAUGACAAGGUUGGUGUUAUGUCAAUCAAUUUUGAUUAACAUUUUAUUUUUCCAACUUCAACAUCAGUUUCCAUUAUAAUUAUCUGUAUACUGAUAAAUCAUAAUUUAUACAUAUUUUUAUCCCAUGCUUAGCAUAUUUUUGGAUGAAUUAUCCUUAGAUUUGGUGAAUUCAAUGCUCCUAAUCCUUUAAUUUCAUGUUUUAUACUUAGGUGAGCGUAGGAGAGUAAGAAGAGCGAGAAACGGGCCAAAAACGGAGAAAAUGGGUCAACGUGGGAAAUUAGCACAGCCUGGACUUCCUCACACGGGUAGUUCACAUAUCCGUGUAGUUUUAGUAGACUCUAACACGACCUAGACUUCCUUACACGAGUAGACCACACGCCCGUGUCUAUUCAACAAACUCGAACACGGGUUGAAGCACUUGCACACGGGCGUGUACCUGUCGAGCCCAAGUCUAGUCUUAUUCAGAAAAGGUCACUCUUGAGAUUUUUGAAGCAUUCAAAAGCCUAUAUAAACACUCCAAGAGGUACCUAAGAGACACACAGAGGGUAGGAACCAAAGAAUUACUCGAAGAAAGUCGAUUGAUCUAUCUCAGAAGCCGCAUUCUCCUUCAAGACUAAAGAUCUCCCUUCAAUUCCCUUCAAGAGUUUUUGGGUUUUCUUUAUGUUUUGUUAUCAUUAUUCUUUUGAGAUGUUUUCCUUCACACUUAUGAACUAAUCCCCCUAAAUACCUAAGGGGAAUGAAACCUAAGAUGGAUCUUGUUAUUAUUUUCUGAAUUAUAUGAUAAAUAUUUGGUUUGUUCUUAACUCUUGUUUUAAUAUUUCAAAAUAUUGAUCCAAGUAUUGAUGUGCUUAUUUAGAGGAGCAAAAGUCCCUGUCUAAGAGUAGAUCUAGCAUAAUUGAGCGGAGUUGAUUGCACGCCUAGACAUAGGGUGACAUAAUUUUAUCGGAUUAGGGUGAAACCUAAUAAAGGAAUCCAUAGAUCGAGUUAAUGCAACACUAGGGGUUUUAAUUAGAAAGAGAUUUCAAUUAAUCAACCUAGGGUUAGGCGUUAUUAGUCUCGAGAGAGAUAAUAAUAUAAAUUAGGAAUUUCUACAGAUCAAGUCAAAUGAAUAAAUCGUCUAAUUCAGAGUCAAUAACAAGUGAAGUCUAGGUGGAUUUUUCCCUUGGGUAUUGUCCAAAUCAUUCAGUUUUCCCACAAGAUAUUUCCUCAAUUUACUUUCUGUGCAUUCUUAGUUAGUAAUUAGUUUAGAUAAAACAAACCCCUUUAUUUUUAGGCUAGAUAAUAAAGAGAAAUUUAAUACUAGUACUUUUAGUUCCUUUGGGUUCGACAUCCCAAUCUUGCCAUAAGCUAUACUACUGUUCGAUAAGGUGAGCUUGCCUUUGUCGUGAUAAUAAUUAGUUUUCAAGAACGGACAUUCAUAAAUUAUAAAACUUAUCACGAUUCACAUCAAUCAAGUUUUUGGCGCCGUUGCCGGGGAACUAAUAUAUUAGGAACACUUACUUUUUAUUACUUUAGCCAUUUAUUUUAUUGCAAUUUAAAUUUUAUUUUGAUUUUUGUUACUAAAUUUUCUUUUUCCUUCUGGAAUGUUUUUAUAGUUUAGAAGAAACCCGUCGGGACCAUUACUUUUUGAUAGUUAGAUCGAUCGCACAGCUCACAGAAACCGAAGAGAAAUAAGACGAAGCCUAAGAUACACAGAGGAAGAGCAAGAAGACGAUACUUCCUCCACAAUCGAGGAGAUGGCUGAAAAUCAGGAAAAUCUGCUACCUCCUGCAAUUGCUGCUGAUCAAGUAAAUCAGAAUCCUGCUCCGCGUACUAUGUAUGAUUAUGCUAAACCUACUUUAACAGGCACUGAAUCGAGAAUAGUUAGACCUACUGUUGCUGCAAAUAAUUUUGAACUAAAACUUAACAUAAUUUAAAUGAUACAAUAGUUUGUUCAGUUUGAUGGUUUGCAAGAUGAGGAUCCAAAUACUCAUUUGGCGAAUUUUCUAGAGUUUUGUUACACAUUUAAAAUCAAUGGCAUUUCUGAUGAUGCCAUUCGCCUUCAGUUAUUUCCCUUUUCAUUAAGGAAUAAGGCUAAACAGUGGUUGAACUCAUUACCAUGAAGGUCAAUCACUAUUUGGGAAUAAAUGACGGAAAAAUUCUUACUUAAAUAUUUUUCGCUGGCUAAAACAGCUAAGUUGAGGAAUGACAUCUCUUCUUUUAUGCAGAUGGAUCUCGAAACACUCUAUGAUGCAUGGGAGAGAUACAAGGAUCUUUUGAGAAGGUGCCCUCACCAUGGAUUACCACUCUAGCUACAAGUUCAAACUUUUCACAAUGGCCUGAAUCCUUUGACUAGACAGAUGAUUGAUGCAGCUGUUGGUGGGACUAUCAAUAAUAAGACACCUAAGGAGGCUUACGAAUUUAUGGAAGAGAUGUCACUGAAUAACUAUCAGUGGCAAGUCAUGAGAAUAAAGUUGACAAAAGUAGCUGGUAUUUUCAACCUCGCUUCGGUCACCAUGCUCUCUAAUUAGGUAGAACUUUUAAACAAAAAAUUUGACAGUUUGUGUGGUCUUACUAAGGUAAAUCUAGUGAUGAGGUGCGAUUCAAAUAGAAGAGGAGUGCACACAGAAUAUGAAUCCUUCAACCCCAACACCGAGGAGGAACAAGUUCAAUAUAUGGGUAACAAUAAUUUUAGACCUCAAAAUAACCCAUACAGUAACACAUAUAAUGCAAGUUGGAGGAACCAUCCCAAUUUCUCGUAGGGUGGUCAAGGGAAUCAGAAGCCACAACAUCCUCCGGGUUUUCAAUAACCACCUUACCAACAGGAAAAGAAGCCGAACCUUAAGGAGAUGCUAACAAAGUUUAUCUCAGUGUCAGAAACUUGCUUUCAAAAUACCGAAACAGUACUUAAGAAUAAACAAGCAUCGAUCCAAGGGCUUGAAACUCAGAUAGGACAGCUCGCUAAACUAAUUUCUGAACAACCACAAGGUAGCCUGCCAAGUAACACUGAAUCUAACCCAAGGGAACAACUCAAUGCGAUUACCAUUCAAGAGGAGGAAGGGUUAGUUGAACCUGAACCAGAACCGAGGCAAGAAAUUGUGGUAAGUAAAAGUAAAGAUGAGGUAGUCUACAGUGAGCAAAAAUCAGUAAGUAAAAAGUACAAACUACGGGUACCAUACCCUAGUGCGACAAGGAAAGACCACACGGAUGAACAAUCCGAUAAAUUCCUUAAAUUAUUAAAGAAAUUACAUAUUAACUUACCGUUUAUUGAAGCUCUUUCGCAGAUGCCAAAUGCAGUUAGAUUUUUAAAGGAGCUUUUAGCAAAUAAGUGGAAGUUGGAUGAGGCGUCGCAUGUGGAGAUGAAUGUAGUUUGCUCAGCCAUUCUGCUGAAUAAGCAGUCCAACAAAUUGAAAGAUCUAGGGAGUUUUACGAUUCCUUGUUUAAUUGGUAGCUUAGAUGUUAGUAAUGCUUUGGCUGAUUUAGAGGCUAGUAUUAAUGUCAUGCCCUAUAAAAUGUUUAAACAACUAGGUCUUGGGAAACCUAAACAAACUAGGAUGAGCAUUUAGUUAGCAGAUAAAACAAUUAAAUUUCCUAGGGGCAUUAUUGAAGAUGUACUCGUUAAAAUUGACAAAUUUAUAUUCCCAAUCGAUUUUGUUGUUCUAGACAUAGAAGAGGAUAGUGACGUGCCUUUAAUUUUAGGAAGGCAUUUAUUAGCAACUGCUAGAACUAUAAUUGAUAUUGGUACAGGUGAACUCACACUUUGUAUGGGUGAUGAAACAAUCACUCUUCAAACUCGAAAUUCUACUAAUACUGAUCAUGUUGUGCAAUCUUUUUUGUAGGAAACACGUUCGAAAAGCAUACAUGAGCCUUAUUCAAGUAACAACAAAGGACCCAUCUAUGAAGAACGAAGGCUACAAAUCGAGAAACUAGAUGAAUGGCAGACACAGAAAUCGAGAGCACACGAUAGACCAAAACCAUGCCAUGAUGAGCUCAAUGUUUCACCAAAUCAACUUAAGGUUGGAGACAAAGUACUACUAAAUGUAAUAGACCCUCGUAUUGUCACUUCUAAACCUAAUGGAGCAAUCCCUCUUACGGUACUCAGCAUUUUUCCAUAUGGGACAGUCGAGGUAAUUCAUCCUAAAUUCGGCACCUUUAAGGUAAAUCCUACCCUUCUAAAACCUUAUUUUGAGUUUGAUAGCAGGAAUGAGGAGUGUAAACUCCUUGCACCACCAUGACCACGCAACAGAGAGGUAAGUCGAGCUUAGACUAUAACUAAGCGCUCUUCGAGAGGCAACCCGAGCACUAACAGUGUUAACUUCUUUAAAUUUUAGUUUUUAACAUUUAAAUCAUUAACUGAGUACUUGAACACAGGUUUUCCAAAAAUUACACGGCCAGACACACGGGCGUGCCUUAGGCCGUACUCAUACCACAGACGGCAACAUGGUCGUGAGAUACGGCCUGUGAAAACAGAGUGAAAGUUUUCCCCAACACGGGAUUCGAUACAUUGCCAUGGUAGUGCGACAUGGCCAUGGACGAAACUGUCAAAACAACACGAGCAUGCGACACGCCUGUGUCUAGAAGCCAUGGUUGAAACUGAAAAAUUAACAUGGGCGUGCAAUACACCAAUACUCACUACCCGUGGUCGAGACUGUCAAAACAACACGGGCAUGCGCAUACAUACACGGACGUGGGAGAAGUGAACAAAGAAGAACACGACUGUGGGACACAGCCAUGUGCAUCAACACGCCUAAAAAACACGGGCGUGGGCCGAAUUUCAAACGAGCCCAAAUUUGAAAAUCAUGAAACACACGGGCUAAAAUAAGGGCACACGAGUGUGCCUCACGGCCAUGUUCCCCAGUAUCUAUAUAAACCCCUCACUAUUCAUCAUCCCCUUCCUCAAAAAAACCCUAACCUUAGCAGCCAAAAUCCCCUCUCCCACCACCGACCGGCCACUCCUUUCUCUUUCUUCUUCUAUUUUUCUCCUCUCUCCCUCUCUUUUAUCCCCUCUUCUCACCCUUGCACACCACACAGCCUCAUUGCCUACGCCCGUGGCCGACCACAUCACUCCUCCACCAAGCACUAUUGCAUUUGUCCAUUCUUUUCUCUCUAUUCUCUUGUUAUUUAUUGUUAUUUCUUGUUUAUUUGAAUGUUUCUGAUGAUAAUCAUGCUUAUACUCUUUAUUCUUAUUUAGAAACUUGUCAUUUUAGUUAAUGCAUUAUGAUACAUUCAUCAUUGUGUUUCCAUAGAUUUCAUGCCAUAUUCCAUAUUAUCAUUACCAUAUGCACUAGGUAUUUCGUUAGCACUAUUCUUGUAUUCUUAAUGUUAAUAAUAAAUUGAUAUAUCUAUUAAGACUUAGUUAUUUUCAGUAGAUUUUCCCUUUAGUCAGUAACCCUUAUGAAGUAUUCUUGUUUAGUUUUAACAUGCCUACAUACUUUUAUAUGCUAUUCUUUGGGAUUAUUCUUAUAACUUCGUCUUUUCAUUGCAGAUACCAUGACGAACCCAAAAGGCAAGAAGACUGUCGUCCUCGUCUUAAAGAAAUGAAAAGGAGCAGCAUCCUCAUCGGGUCCCACUAUCGAGAUCAGGCACCCAUUCCUCCAAUUUCCACCGGGACCACAUGAGGAACUUUUUCAGAUAUUACGGGCUCGACACCUAGGUGUGAGCUAUUGCAUCAACUGGACCGCUUUAGAGUAGAUCCAACUGGCUGACGCUGUUCGGGCUCUCCUAAUGACUGACCCGUGGGGGCUUUUCUUUGAAAUCAUCGAGCCGACGUACCUCGAGCUCACACUCAAACUUUGUUCAACCUUCCACCUUCAAGUCAUCAUGACAGAGUUUGAUGAUCCUAGAAUGGUCCAGUUCCGUAUCGGUAGUUUAGUCUGUCAGUUGAGCGUACCUGAGUUCGGAGUCACACUGGGACUAUAUACGGAGGAAUUCAUGGAUGACGAAGACUUCGACAGCCUCCAUCUCCACAUCCACAACUCUCCAUCAAAAUGUUAGAAUGCUCUAGUCCCUACCGCGGCCACCUCUAACCCCAACCGCUCCAAGGCAUCAGCUCUCGCCCCAUCCCUAAGAUAUUUACAUGCCAUCCUAGCCCACACCUUGACAGGGCAACGAGAGAGUAUCGACGUCGUCAACAUUCAUGACGCCUAUUUCUUAUGGAGCAUGGUGUAUGGACACGUCUUCGACCUUGUCUAUUUCAUCGCCCUCGCCAUUCGCCAUCAGACGGAGCGGCACAGAAGGGAGUCAUAUCCAUCGGCCCUUAUGUGGCCUGGCGCGGUAUUUUGGUCUUCUCAAUACAGCGGCGUAAACAUCCUCCCUCACCCUCAUCGAUCAAAUGUCCCCACAGGGCAUCUCGAGUAUGCUAUAUAUGAGGAUGAUCGAGUGACGACAUGGAUCUGAUCCUCCCCACGCCUAGUCCAGUCAGCCGAGCAAGAGGACCUAGAGGACAUUACUGAUGAUGUCCCUCCACCUUACAAGGAUCCAGCCUCUCAGCCACCACCUAUUCAUCGUCCAGUUCAUGCGGCGGCUUCACUUUCUGACAUCUCUGAGCGUCUCACUCGAUUCGAACAGCAGUGUUUUCAGCGCUUUGAUCACAUUGAUGCUAUCUUACAUCAGAUUUGUCAGCACCUUCACAUCUCAUCGCCACCCCCACCUCGCGAACCAUUUGGCGAUGAAUAUUUUUAAAGACUUUUUAUUUAUUAUUUAUAUUUUUACUUUUAUCUUUAUUUAUAUAUUUAAAGUACUUUUUAUUUUACUUCCCUUUAAUACUAUUUCAUUUUUAGGUUUUAUAAUUUAUAUUAGAUAAUUUAUGUUUUCGGCUAUUUCUUUACGGGUAAUUAUGUUUCUUUAUAUUUCCUAAAGAGUUAGUAAUUUUAUCGUAGUUAUAAAAAGCUCCAAAGCUCACUGUUACUUAGGAAUUUGCAACUCCACUGAAAAAAGUUCUCCACGACUGCUAUGUCCUGCCCUACCACCAUGAUAACCUCUUCGCUGGACACUGUGGUUGUGUUGAUAACCCAACCUCUACCACCACCGGAGUAUCCUCCUCCACUCUCAUCAUUGCCUUGGUCGAUUAUUCUCCAUAACUAUAAGGAAUUCAUCCACAAAUUUAGGAAGUUUCACUUCUCUUCCUCUCUUAUUUCUAUAUUUUUCAGUAAAUUUCUUUGUACAUUAAGGACAAUGUACAUCUUAAGUGUGGGGGGUUAUUCAUAUCAUCAUCAGAAAAAAUCCCUGAAAUUUGUCUUGUUCUCAAAUAAUCUUCUCAUAUCAUUUUUAGAAUAAAUUUUGAUUAAUUUGUGAUUUUUAUUGAUAUGUCUUGAAUUAAAACAUAGGCAUUUAUGCAUUGAUUGUUUAAACUUUAAGGAAUUAAGGAAUCAAGCAUGAAAAGUUGAUUUUUGAGAAUUAAAAAUUAUUUAGGUUGUUUCCCCAACUUUAGGUAUUAUCUUGAGUUGAAAUUAACAGGUUUGACAUCAAAAAGCCAUAAUUUUUGUGAGAUCUUGAGCCUUUAGAGUAUAUAUUAUUUCCUUCAUACUCACUUUUAUUGUUGCUAUGAGUGCGUCAAUAUUGAAUUGUUAUUUUAGAACUUGCUUGAUUAUGCAUGUCAAGACCACACGUUUGAUUUGAUAUGUCAAGAUGAUAAAGGCACUUAGGUUUAACCCACUUACUCCAUAAAAGUCUACCCUCAUAAUUAACCCUUAGUGAACCCCAUUGAGCCUAACAAGCUAUUCAUUGACUUACCCUCAAUAUUAACCCAUAACCCAUUAUUGUUGAAAUCCCCUCAUUUGAUCCCUAUUUUUGUCGAGAUUUGAUUUGAAUAAAUUACUUAGCUAUGUUUCAUUUUUGAUAGUUAGCAAAGCUUUAUGUUAUUUUGACUUGUUCUUAAAAAAAAACAUACAUAUUAGUAGUAACUUUUUAUUUUUGAGCUUAAGUAUUUAAUUCCAUAUCCCAUGAAGAAAAGCUCAAUUCUAGGAUCUUCUAAUUAGGAAUGUAAUAUAUCAAGUUUUAGUAUUUUUCUAGUUAGGUAAUUUUUCAAUUCAAUAUCGAUUCUAACCUUCUUUUUUAGCUUGUAACCACACCCCCUAACCAAAGCCACGUUACAACCCUCUAAAGACCUUUUAAUUGAUGUAUCAUCUCAAUAUAUAGUGGUGGAGAUUUGAUUUUCAUGCAAGCCUAUGGUAAUAACUUUUCAUAUUGACUAUUAAGUGCUAAAUUUCUUGUCCUUAAACACCUCGAGUGAUUUAAGUGAAUCUUCAGUGAGGAUGUGAAACUCUGUGAUAUUUUGAAUCAAAGGUGAUUACUUAGAAGAUGGGAGACACUUAUGUUUUUGUGAUAAAAUGCUCAACUUGGAAUGUUUGAAACUUUGAUGUUCUUCGUGUUGAAUUUUCAAUGUAUGAUUACUUAUGGAUUAUUUUGAGACACUAUUGAUGAGAAUUAUAAGUUGAGAAGAAUUUAUUUUGAUUGUGAGUUGAGGAUUUUGCUUGAGGACAAGUAAACGCUUAAGUAUGGGGUUAUUUGAUAAACCGUAAUUUAUAUAUAUUUUUAUCUCAUACUUAGCACAUUUUUGGAUGAAUUAUCCUUAGAUUUGGUGAAUUUGAUGCUCCUAAUUCUUUAAUUUCAUGUUUUAUACUUAGGUGAGCAUAGGAGAGUAAAAAGAGCGAGAAACGGGCCAAAAACGGAGAAAAUGGGUCAGCGUGGGAAAUCAACACGGCCUGGGCUCCCUCACAUGGGUAGUUCACACGCCCGUGUAGUUUUAGCAAACUCUAACACGGCCUAGACUUCCUUACACGAGUAGACCACACGCCCGUGUAGUUUUAGCAGACUCUAACACGGCCUAGACUUCCUUACACGGGUAGACCACACGCCCGUGUCUAUUUAACAGACUCGAACACGGGUUGAAGCACUUGCACACGGACAUGUCCCUGUUGAGCCCAAGUCUAGUCCUAUUCAAAAAAGGCCACUCUUGAGGGUUUUGAAGGAUUCAAAAGCCUAUAUAAACACCCCAGAAGGUACCUAAGAGACACACAGAGGGUAGGAAGCAAGGAAUUACACGAAGAAAGCUGAUUGAUCCAUCUCAGAAGCCGGAUUCUCCUUCAAGACUAAAGAUCUCCCUUCAAUUCCCUUCAAGAGUUUUUGGGUUUUCUUUAUGUUUUGUUAUCAUUAUUCUUUUGAGGUGUUUUCCUUCACACUUAUGAACUAAACCCCCCAAAUACCUAAGGGGAAUGAAACCUAAGAUGGAUCUUGUUAUUAUUUUCUAAAUUAUAUGAUAAAUAUUUGGUUUGUUCUUAAUUCUUAUUUUAAUAUUUCAGAAUAUUGAUUCAAGUAUUGAUGUGUUUAUUUAGAGGAGCAAAAGUCCCUGUCUAAGAGUAGAUCUAGCAUAAUUGAGCAGAGUUGAUUGCACGCCUAGACAUAGGGUGACAUAAUUUUGCCGGAUUAGGGUGAAACCUAAUAAAGGAAUCUAUAAAUCGAGUUAAUACAACACUAGGGGUUUUAAUUAGAAAGAUAUUUCAAUUAAUCAACCUAGGGUUAGACAUUGUUAGUCUCGAGAGAGAUAAUAAUAUAAAUUAGGGAUUUCUACUGAUCAAGUCAAAUGAAUAAAUCGUCUAACUUAGAGUCAAUAACAAGUGAAGUCUAAGUGGAUUUUUCGCUUGGUUAUUGUCCAAAUCAUUCAGUUUUCCUACAAGAUAUUUCCCCAAUUUACUUUCUGUGCAUUCUUAGUUUAGUAAUUAGUUUAGAUAAAACAAACCCCUUUAUUUUUAGGCUAGAUAAUAAAAAGAAAGUUAAUACUAGUACUUUUAGUUCCUUUGGGUUCGACAUCCGGGUCUUGCCAUAAGCUAUACUACUGUUUGAUAAGGUGCGCUUGCCUUUGUCAUGAUAAUAGUUAGUUUUCAAGAACGGACAUUCAUAAAUUAUAAAACUUAUUACGAUUCACAUCAAUCAUAUACAAUUACUAUGAUAAAAUAUAUAAAUAAUUCAAAAUCAAAUUAUUAUGGAUCAUAAACACAAAAACACAAUUUUCUCUAAAUUGAAUUAUGGUAACAAAUUAUGCACAACAUUGAAUAAAUUAACAUGACAUAAAAACAAUAAAAAAUAAUCUAAAAAUAAAAGGACCAAAACUAAAACUUCACUAUUUUAUUAAUAAUAUAAGUAAAGGAAAAACAUCCCUUAAAAAUGAAAGAAAAGCCAAGUCCAAAUAACACGCAUCAAAAGGAGAAAGCUUUUCUUUUACAUUACUUUUAUAUAUAGUUUAUAGAUAUAUACUGAUAUUGAUAUAUUUUAAUGUAUCAUUUUAAUUGUAUUGAUAUUUUAAAUAGGUUUAAAUAUGACUAAAGUCCCUAAGCUUCAGUCCCUCAACUUUUAUUUCCUAUGCUUCCAAGAAAUAUUUUUAAGAUAAAAAACAUUUGUAAAAAAAGAGAUGAUUGUAUGAAACAAAUAUAUUAUUUCUUUUUAAUAAUUUAAUACCACAUCAACAAUUUAAUUUUAAAUUUCAAAAUUUUCAAUUAGAUUUAACUUUUUUCAAGUUAAAAAUAUUAAAAUUUAAGAUAAAUAUGUUAAUAUUAGAAAAAAGAUAAAAUUAUGUGGCCUCCAUGCAAUCCUUCAUUUUUCAAAUAAAAAAAAAGCUAAAAUUUUUACUUUAAAGUAUCUUAUUUAAUAUGUUUAGCAUUGCUAAACUAAACAUUAAUCUCUCUAUUCAUCUAAUUUAAAAAUUAGAAUUCCUUUAAUAACAUUGUUAAUGCAAUUUUACGAUAUAAUAAAAUUUAAUUAAUAAUUUUAUGAAUGAAAAACUUAGGGGUACAUUUACACAAAAUCGUUCAUAAAAAUAAUAAAAUAUAAAAGCCAAAUAUUCGUUAAAAGUAAACACAAGUAUAAGAGGAAAAAGUUAUAGGCACAUUGAGACGUAAGGUGUAGCUGGUCCCCUAAAAGCAAGCGUAUGGAUGGUAAUUAAACACAUCCCCUUGAAAAAGAUCUAUUACUUGAAGUGAAGUAUUUUAAGAAAAUUGACUUUUGUAUAUUUACAUCUUGACUACACACAUGUUUACUCUAAAUGAAUGGUAAGCAAUGUUGAAAUUAAAUAUCAAGUUUCCAGAUUAGUAGACGCAGCCGCUGCAGUUGACUGGGACCCAUGAUGUUUUUCAUUUUGGUGGGGAAGCUCUUGUGACCAUGGGAUCAAACUCAUCGGUGGAAAACAACAGUCACAGUUGUCUGGACAUGGACGAGGCAAUUCCCAGUUACUUGCCAAUAUUUCUUGCUUUGUCCCUCCUUGUUGGGACCCAGCUUCCACUACUGGACCCCAACACUCUACUUUGUUGAAUUCCGGAAUGUUUGAGUGAAAAUAAACCCAUACCAAUGCUUCCUGUAAUUCUGGGUAGUUCUUUAGCAAAUUCCCGUCUCCAUGGACAAACGCCUUCAGUACCUUUUUUUUUUUCAAUUUCCAGAAGAUUAAAUACAGAGAAAUGAUAAUAAAGAAUAUCAACAAAAAAUGAAUGAUCAAAAAACGUACCACGGGUAGUUCAUUGCAGAAGAUGAAGUAUCUAAGUCUAGCACACAAGUCCAAGAGGAAAUGGCCCCCGCUUAUGUGACAAUGGACGUGUAGUGACAUUUUUCCCUUCACUUUCUUCCAUUCAGCCACUACUUCGUCCCUGUAUAAUUUGUUCGCCCAACCCUGCAACUGUAAUCAAACCCCAAAUCCCCUGUUUUUUUAUUCUAAAUAAUAAAAAAACAAAAAACUCAAAAGAAAUAUGAGAUAAAAAGAUUUACCUGAGAGUUGUUAAUUGUUUGUGAGAUCGCUAAGGUAAGUUUCGAUGUUAUAUCACUAUGUGUAAGUGUAUAAGUUCUGGGAAGCUUCCCUGGGUGCUUCUUCUCAUCCACUCCUAAAAACAGAACUUUUAGCUUUGAUGCCUCGAAUAUAGCUGGCCCAAACAACCUUGCUACCUGUUUCAAUCCAUUCCAACACGUCAAACCAAUAUAUAAUCUCCCAAGUCCACCCCCCCACCCACAAAAAAAAAAGGAGGAAAGAUUACAGGAACAAUAGGUAGAUUCUUCUUCUUGGAUCUUCUUCUUGAAACAAAAGGAGACUGGUUUUGUUCAAAGACUGAAGGUCUUGGCUUUGUAGGCAGAAUCGGAGCAAAACUCAAAGUUCCCAUGUUAAUCUUGAAGCUCCAACUUUGAUGGAGAGAAGCAGCACCCCCCAACCAAAAAAAAAAACUAUUCAACAAUGAAAUACUACUAAACGGCUAAACCACAAAACAAUAAACCAAGAUAAGUAGGUAUUAGAUAGAGUAUUAUUAGCCAAAAAGAAAGAGAGGAACAAAGAAAAAGGAGAGUGAGACUUGGAAACUUUGGCUACUUUUGUUUGCUUUCAGCUUUUGAUUUUGCUUGUAUGGUAAGCCAACUUGAAGAUCCCAUUGAUUGGAAUUGCGUUUGGGGAAGGGUUUUGAGAUUAAAUAUGAUGUUUAUUUUUCAAGUAAAAAAAAACAAACACAUGAAUAACAGAAUCAAAUUGUAGUCAGUUGGCUACAAAUUUAAAAAAAAAAGACCAGAGAGGUGUUUGACAAUGACACAUGGAUUGGUUUGUGUAACGUGUUGAGUGCGGGUGUUACCCUGAUGUUAUUAGUGACACUUAUUUCAUUAGUUUUAUAUUUAGCAUUUGGGAGCUAUCAUAUUUCAAUUGCCGUGUAAGGUUAGCUGGGAAAUGUGAUUUAGGGGGUCUCAUUAAUAUUAUUAUUGUAGUUUUUAUUGUCGUAUAAAAUUAAUAUAAAUUAUUUACUUUAAUAUAUGUAAACCUAUAAGUUUUUCAAAUAUCAUUAUAAUAUAUAAUAAAAAAUAAGUAAUUAAAUAAUUAACGUGAGUAUAUGGAAUAUUUUAAUUUUAGCCUAAAAAUAUAACGAUGGCAUAUAUUUAAGAGAACGGAGCAAUUCUUAUAUUCUAGAUUAAAUUGCAUUUUAGUUUUUCUACCAAAAAUAAUAAGCACAACUUGAUUAGGUGGAUAAGUAGCUCAUAAAAGAAAGUAAAUAAGAGGGAUAAUUAUUUUUUAUCUUAAGUAUAUCUGAAAAAUAAAUUUUAGUUUAGAAAAGAUAAGAGGAGAGAAAAUGAUAGAGAUGUAUAUGUUAAUUCAAAAUUUUACAUUUUUUAAAUGUUUUAUUUUUUUUCUUUUUUCAACUAUACCAAGUAAUCAAUGAAAAGAAAAUUAUAUGUUCUUUCUAUUUUUUUAUCUCUCCUACUAAGCACACUUACAAAAAAAAUAAUAUGCUUUUUAUCUUUCCACUCACCUAAGCAAAGCCUAAAUGGAGAUAAAUAAUUCCUCAUUAAAAUUUUGUCAUUCAAUACUCUUGAUGUAUAAGUAAGUUGUCUAUUUUUUAAUAAAAAGAUUAAUAUGCAGUCUAAAAUAUAAUAUAAGGAUUGUUAUGAAAAUUUUAUCAAAAACACUAUCCUUCUUGUUUGUACUAGUGUAGGCCAUUUUGCAAUGAUUCUAGCGCAUCGUUCUAACAAUAAAUUUGUGUAAUCAAUUCCUCUUUUUUUUUUGUAUUGGAACAUUUUUAAAUAUUUAUAGUGUUCCAAUAACUAUAAAUGAAUGGGGUGUAAUUAAUCAAAAAGUUAUAUUAUUUAAUUUUUUAAAAAAGAAUUAUAACUAUUUAAAUAAUAUUAUUUGAAUAGUAUUAAAUGAAUAAUUAUGUGUUUAUUUUAAAGACAUUAUUAUUCAGAAAGACACCUAUUAAUGAAAGAUGUCUUUAUAAAGAGACAUGAAAAUUCCUAUAAAUAGGAAUGGGAUUUCAUUUGGAAAUCAUAUCAAUAAAUUCUCAUAUUCUUUCUUUCCUUCCUUCUUUUUCUAAUAUUUUUAGAUUAUUCUAUAAAGUAUUACUGUAGAAAUCCUUUAUAGAAAUUGAGUUUCUUGCCAUACAUUGCUCAGUGUGUAGUGGGCUAUUCUCAUCAAUGCAAAACGCAAAUAGUCAUUGGCUUCAUUGUAUCCUCGAGGUUAAUUUGCUUGAAACUCAUUUGCACACUGAAGAUAGGUGAGGGCGAAUAUAACCUUAAAGAUAGUGACUUGAUACACGCCUUGAAGCCUUGUCCUAUUUCUUCUUAUGUUCGAGUUUCAUUAGUGUGUUCGAGAUUUUCCUCACCGGAGAUUUGUACUAACAAUUUUAAGGUCAUAUUUCAUGAUGACUACUACAACACAUGAAAGUGGAACACUAAGGGAGCUGGCUUCCAAUUUUGUUGAACUUGAUCGAUUUGAUGGUGGCAAUUUUUGAUGAUGGCAGAAAAAGAUGCACUUCUUAUUAUCAACUUUGAAGAUUGUUUAUAUUUUGGAUACUCUAAGACCUGAAGAGACUGAAAAUGAAUCUGUUGCUACAACCCGAGAAAGACAAAAAUGGGACAAUACUGAUUACAUGUGCAUGGGCCACAUAUUGAAUGGUUUAUCUGAUGGUUUGUUCGACACCUACCAAAACAAUGACAUUGCUAAAGAAUUAUGGGGCAAAUUGGAGACAAGAUACAUGACCGAAGAUGUUACAAGUAAGAAAAUUCUUACCAGUCAUUUCAAUAAUUAUCAAAUGGUUGAUGGUCAUUCUGUUAUGGAACAAUUCCAUGAUAUUGAAAAGAUGCUGAAUCAAUUCAAGCAAUAUGAUAUGAAAAUGGAUGAAAUGAUUGUUGUAUCCUUCAUAAUAGACAAACUUCCUCCAUCUUGGAAAGACUUUAAAAGAAGUCUAAAACAUAAGAAAGAGGAAAUAUCUCUUGAGGCUUUGGCAAAUCAUCUUCGUAUUGAAGAAGAAUAUCGAAAGCAGAUCAGAAUAUAAAUUCUAAAAAUGCCAAAGUGCAUGUUACAGAGGAAGUACAUACUACUAAACCAUUCAAGAGAAAGUUCAAACAGACUGAUAGAGCACAUAAGUUCAAAAAGAAAUAAAAGGGCUCAUGCUAUCAUUGUGGUAAGCAGGGACAUUUCAAGAAUAAAUAUCAAUUUUUAAAGAAGAAAUCAUCUUCUAAAGCUGAUAAUAACGAAAAGUUUGUUGCAAUGACAUCUGAAAUUAAUAUGGCACAAGAUGACAAUAUAUGGUGGAUUGAUACCGAAGCAACCAAACAUGUGUGCAAAGACAAAAGCAUGUUCACAAAGUUCUCACAAUGUGAAAAUGACAAUGUCUUGUA
Molecule: long non-coding RNA, 49888 nt
Filed under: Gossypium barbadense (sea-island cotton)
Lineage: Eukaryota; Viridiplantae; Streptophyta; Magnoliopsida; Malvales; Malvaceae
Description: long non-coding RNA (GBAR_LNC007666)
Source: RNAcentral